UUGAUGCAACUGUACUCUUUCUGGUAGGUCUGAGAUGGACUGAGCAUCCUAAGCUAGCUACUUGUCUCCCUUAGGUUUUACAGCAAGACAAAUGCACUGGACUACAAAGAGGAAAAUUCUUGCAGGUUCGUAAUGAAUCUGUUUUGGUUCUGGCAUUCACACCAAUCAUAAAGCAGUGUUUGUUAGUAGCGGAGUGGUAGGCAGACGCAAAUCAAACCAUCAUUUUUCUUCUAAAUACACUUGUAAAAGCAUCGAUGCAUCUCCGUCGCUUAAUUUUAUUUGUCAUUCUGUUCAGUACCUGGUUUGGUUUAGGAAGAGCUCUUUUUCCUAUGCAAAAUGUAUAACGUGUAUGUUUCUAAUUCCGAUUGCAGGCAUAUUCAUCGCGCUUGUGUUUUGACGUGUUGCGGGCAACCAAGAGUCGUUCAACAGUGUGUUGCUGGGGUACGCCACCGGUCUGACAGUAAAAGGUAGCGCUGAUGAACUGGUUUCAAGCCGAGCUGAUCAGUUCUGCUGUUACUAAUAUAUCAUGGCAUCUUGCGGCUCUCGGUCGAUGUUCUGUCAUCUAUGAGGAGAGAGUUUCCAUUUAAUCUAGUUGCUAAUGCUUUGUAUACAAAAUUAUAGAUGCCUACACAAUACAAAAUCAAAAGUUAUUUUCUUAGUCAAACUGGAAAAUUCAUAGAUUUGCAGGAACAUCUGUACAUAAAGCCUUUUCCAUCAAAGUAUGUACAUACAUUGUCUAUUUUAACAUAAGAAUGUAGGACUCGUUCAAAACUAUUUGACUAUUCAUACAAAAAAAAUAGAAUUUCUUAAAAUAAGGGAGCACAUCUUCUCUGGUUUGAUCACUGAAGUCAUCAAUUGAGCAGUCCAGGUUCACCUAGUUAUCUAUUUCAAAACUUAGGGAGAACAAUUUGGGUGAUACUUUUUCAAAGUACAAGGCACAUAUUUAUAGUUCAUUGAAAUGCACCUAUAUUUUGACCUCAUUAAUAUCUCAUCCUUCAUAAUAAAGUAUGGCCAAACAAACAGAGAAACCGCUAGUUUCUUUCAUGUUCCCCAGACAAUAACACCAUAGCUAUUACUGUCAUUCCCCUUCUCUCUUAAUACCUUCCAUCCUUUCCAUUAUAAUUAAUGAAACUGAAACAUAUCAUUCUCUUGGUUGUAUUUUUUUCCUAAAAUGUUUAAGGUGUAUGUGUCAUUGAGUGAAUAUAUUAUGUUGCAAAGUUUCACGAAAUUUAGUAUGCAACCAGUAUGCAAGAGAAAUAAAGAUUAAAGUAAAUUUAGUUAUUUUUAUUAGCCAUUAUUGUUUUUAGAGAAAACAAUAGGCAAGUCACUUUUUCAUGAAAGCUGGAGACAAAUAGUGUAUUCUAACAUAAAAAUGGUCAAUUUUCCUCACACACACACACACACACAUACACAUAAACUUAGAAUUUUUGGAAAUAAUGGGAGCAAUGGCCAUGUGAAAAUAUGAGGUUUAUAUCUUGUGGAUUUCCUUUCAGUGUACAAGGCCUGCAUGUAGAAUGGAUAUUUUUUUUUCUAUAUUUGCUUCCCUAAUUUAAAUCUUAUCCUUCAUCAUCAAUUAUGACUAAACAUAAAUAGUAACUGCUAGUUUCUCUUAUGCUUAUGAGGAGAUAAGACCAUGGAUAUUUUAGUCAUUCCACUUUGCUAUUGAUUGUUUCUGUUCUUUUGCGCUAAAUAGUAGUCAAACAUGUUAUUCAUGUAUUUCGUAAGGAUAAGGUCAAGCCUCAUGAUAAGGAUAGGGUCGCGCUAUUCGUCACCCUGGGUGAGGCAUUGUUAUUUUUCACCCACUUCUAUUUUAUCAUCAAUGCACCGUAAAUUUACGUUUCAUAAGUUUUGUCUUAUUUCCGACGCAAAAAGGGACCGUAAGAAAAUAUAUAAUCGCCAUAAAAAAUAUUUUAUGUUAUAUAAAAUUACAAACAUAAAAACAUAGUCUAAAAUACACACAAACUGCAAAUUUUCUUGUCUUAUAACCUAUAUUUUUAUUUUUUUAUGUCAAAUUUUACGUAGUGAAUCAAUAGAAAUAUAACUAUUUGAAUUCGAAAUGUAAUUUAAUUAUGAAAUGAUCGUAAGAUUACCUCGGGUGAAGAAUAACUUAUUCUGCACCCUGAUUGAUGAAUAAUAAAUUUAAUUAUAUUAUAUACAUAUAGGAUAACACUAUUCUAAUCCUAGAAUUAGAAUAGCUAUUUGGAUCACAGCCAGCCCGACCACAUCUUAGUGAGAUCGCGCGAGCAAAAGAAAAAACCCAAAACGCCCCGCCCCGUUUAUCCCCUUGUCGCUCCACCACCACCCCCCGACCUCUGGCCGCCGCCCACCCUGCUCCGGCGCGCCUCCCACCCUCGCCUCCUUCCGAGCGCUCCGCCGGCCCCGCCUUCUUCCAGGCGCGCCGCCGGCCCCGCCUCCUCCUGGCGUGCUGCCACCCCCACCUCUUGCAGCGCGAGGUCGCCGCCACCGCCUACUUCCCGGCGUGCCGCCAGCCCCGCCCCCUUCGGCGCGAGGCCGCCGCCCCCACCUCCUCCUGGCGCGCCGUCGUCCCCUGUACCUGACGCGCCCCCCGGUGCCGCCGGCCCGCAACCCGCCGCCCAGCACCUUCCCGUCGCGCGCCUCCCAACACCGAGGCGCCGCCGCCCACAGGUUCUGUAGAUGCUGACCUGCCACUGCACCGCCGCUGCAACCUGCUGCUCACUCUUCCUCGCACAUGUGUCAGCAACACAAAAGUGGGUCGCUGCAGUCCACCUCCUGCUACAGCAGCAGGACGACUCCUUCAGGACGCAUCUCACACUCAUGGAGGCGGUGCUAUCUCUGGCGAGCUCCUCCAUCCCCGAGCGCGAUGCUUCCACUACUGCGUCCUCCUCACGUUCCCUUCCCCAUCCUUGUGUAUGCUUAUUUCGAUGUGGAAAACUCCAUCAACUAGUUCGCAUCACGUAUCAGGGCACGGCCAUAACAUGCUAGCAAUAUUAUGCUUUGGCUGCUAGUAAUGUGUUUGUGCUAAUGUCUAGUAGGAACUCUAGUUGUACUGAUAAAAGAGAACCAAACCAUCAUAUAAGGGAAAAGUCGCAUCUCUCUAUCUUUGAUCUCUCUAUGAUACAGAUAUGGACGUAUAUGGAAUUAGUAAAAUUCCUCUUUUAUAUUGCUUGUUCAUUAAUCAUUCAUGCAUCGUGUCCUAAAAGAAAUAUAGUGUGCUCUGUUUGAAAAAGCAUGUGGUCAGCACAUGUUUGUUAUUAUAUGGAUCUAAAGGUUUAACAAACAAACACAUUCAGAUUUCUCUUUAUUCGUAUAAAGGUUGGAGUGAGGUAGCGCUUAUUUCCUAUAUAGCUGCUCAUUUUGGAUGCAGUUUGAACAAUCAGGCUAGGGAGCGGUGAGCGUGGGUAGGCUGGCCAAACCUUCCCUCCACUGGGUCAACCGGCAGCGUCGCCCACCACCGUACUGUCCUACGGCAACGGCCCCAACCUGGGCAGGCGUGCUUUCUGCGACAUGCUCCUGCUCAUGGAUGUCUUGGUGAGGUAAAAACUUCUGUUAACUUAACUUAGCUACCUCAACUGAUUGAACUGCAGGGGUUGUGUGCAGUCUGAUGUGGUUCUAGUGUUUGAUUAAUGCAAUUUGGAAGAACUUGCGUCUCUAAAAUUCAAACUCUGCAUUUUGGUGUAUUUUUAUUUAGAAGUUCAGGUCAUCAUAAGUUGCUUCGGUUUAGCUAGUUACUGUUGUGAAAAAGUUCAGCUCGUCAUAUUUGAACAUCGGAAGAAGAGCUGCUAUAGUCUCCUGCUAUAUGCUUGUUAUAUUCCUAAAUAGUACAGGCUCAACCAAAGCAAGUAGUUAUAGUCUCCUGCUAUAUGCUUAAAUAGUACAUUUUUUCUGUAUUCUUGUUCGGAAGUUCAGGUCAUUCAAAGAGACCAAAUAGUACAGGCUCAACCAAAUAGUGAAAAGUCUACUAGAGUCGAAAAAAUAUAAUGAUACAAAAAUGCAACUCUGCACUUUCCUCAAAAUGGUCAUCAUAUUCUUAAGAAGAUUGGGAUUGCACUAUUUGUUUGAGCUAGUACUACCAGACUGAACAAAUUGCAGAGUUGGAUUUUAGAGCCUGGACAUUUUCAGACAUUUUCAAAAGUGGUCAAUUGAACCUGAACCAAAAAGAUUGACCUGAAAUUCGUUUGGGCUAGUUACUACCAGACUGAAAAAAUUGUAAUAGGUGGAUAAGUGGUAUUGUACUAUUUUCUAUUGUGUGGUAAUGCUCGUACCCCAUGGCCAUGGAAGGUUCAGAUGUUGUGCUCUUCUUUUCUAGCUGAUUCAUGUUCUAUUUGGUAGCUUUAAUGAUAUUCUAUACACUGAUGGCGAGAGUUCAACCAUGGCUAUACGCCAAGUUCUACUAUGGCUAUAUGUCGGCCAUCGUGAAGUCCUACUAUAGCUAUAUGCCAAGUUUAAUUAUGGCUGUAUGCUUGUGCUUCCAGGCUACUAUUGAACGUGUCUUGGCCUUCAUUUUUACGGGUUAUAGUCUCCUGCUAUAUGCUUGCUUUUGCUAUCAGCAUGUUCAUGCAAGUGCCUCUGAAUAAUCUGAAAUUUAAACUUGUACCUAAAACUGAACUUCUACCUCUUUGCUACAGGUGCGGUCGUCGGAGUCCUUUAAGUGCUUGCACUAGUGCUUCUAACUUGUCCAUGAAGGCACUGCAUGGUGUGCCACCUCCCGUCUGCCGCCGCAGCUGCCAUGUGUCCUUGCGACCUCUGCGGCCAGUCACCAACGCCCUAUGAGUGCGCCCUAAGUGUGGCAUGGGGAACAUGCUAAUGUGUGUGUUUCUGCACUGGUGUGUGCGUGCAUGCUCACGUUUAUGCGUGACUGAGUGUGCUGCUUGUGUGCUGUGAUGUAUGUUGUAUAGAUUUUUAUGAAGUUCAUGUUGUGAACCCAACUUAAUUAGAACACAAAAGUUUAGAUCGCAGCUGCUUUGAAUUAUGUAGUGUUUCUAAAUAGCUUCUUGUCUGAAGUUCAGUCGUACAUGUGGGUGCAAGAAAGUUAGUGUCGGAGCCAGAAAAACUGACUUUGAGCAACUGUUGGGUAUUUAUAUAAAAACAUUGUGUGUAGCAAUUCGUUGUGUUUAUUGAAAAAUGAAAAGACAGAAGUUCACCAUGCAAAACUUUCACAGUCCAAUUGGUAUUAAGAAGGCAGAAAUAUAAAACAACAGUGAAGUUCACUAAAAAUGCAACUUUUCACAUUGCGAAGAAACAAUAAUUAACUUCUCAGUGUACAAUUUAGUUUUUGUUUCUCUUUUCCAAAAAAUAAGAAUAGAAGUAAUAUGUGGAAGCUAUUUGUGUUUAUGUCUCAAAUUAGAAUAAUUAUAAGAAUUGCCUCUAUAUGUGCUAUGUGUUACACACCUUUCCGAAUCAAAAGAGAUUAGAUUCAUCCAUGAGUAAGGUAGGUACAAUUAUUUUUAAACAGUUCAAUUGCUCGAUAGAUGUAUGUCCAGAAAAAUAAAAGAUAGUUCAACACAAUAUAAACCCAUGAGAUUGCAAAAAAUCUUUGGAUUAAGUGGAUGAGAACCAAUAAGUUCAUAUAUGAAACCUUGGGGAGUUCAAAAAAAGUUAAAAAGGUUCGAUGUUUGUUGCGAAGCUAGGAUUUUCUUCAUUACUAAUGAAUAAAUCAAGAAGUUCAAAUUAAAAAAGGAUGAGCGGUUCGAUGUUUAUUACGAACCUAGAAUUUUUUCCGUUACUAAAAGAAAUAAUACCAACAAGUUCAAAUUAAAAAAAUCGAGUAGUUUGAUAUUUCUUUGAAAACUCAAAUUUUUCCGGUUAGUAAAUAAUAAAACCAAUAAGUUCAAUUCAAAAUAACGAAGAAGUUCAACUUUUAAAAGCAAAGCAAUUUGAUAUUCAUUUAAAAACUCAAUUUUUUCGGUUACUAAAGAAUAAGACCAACAAGUUCAAUUCAAAGUAACGAAGAAGUUCGAUGUUUCUAACAAAACUCCAAUUUUCACAUUUCUAAAAACUCCAAUUUUAGGUGAGCCCAAUUUUUGUGUGGAUGUGUUGUGCAUGUGCUUGUGCGUAGUACAUUUAAUAGAACAAAAACACUAUUAUGGGUGCCCUCUAAAUGUUUGUCCUAUUGCUUAUGAGAAUUGACCCGAAUUUUCCUAUUGUUUUUGCACAUGUUGGAUUCAAGGGAAAAUGUGUAUAAAACAGGUGUGAUUUCAGAAGUUCAGGUGUAACGAACAUCGAAGUCCAAACCAAAAGAAUGUAAACAAAAAAAUCAUGGAAUUCAAAAGAAUAAAUACUAUCGAGUUUCAUGAAAGAAAAUAGCAUGCGAAGUUCAUGUUUCAGAAAGUUUGAAGUUCACGUGUACCACAUACAGAAGAAAAAUGAUCAAAUGAAAAAAGGGACCGCCUAGGCCAUUUCACCGAAAAGCAAAAAAUGCAUAAAAUGUCACGACAAAAUUCUAUAAGAAGUUCCAAUUUAAAAGCCGAAGUAGGUCAACGUUAAAGAAAAUGAAGUUUUUAAUAUCUAAAAGAAAAUUUUGGAAGCUCAACAAAUUUGUGCAAGGAGUUAAAAAAAUUAGUUGAAAAAUAUUUAUAACGGAUUUUCCCCGUGUAUAAAAAAAUCAGAGAAGUUCAAAUUAAAAAGAGGAGCAUUUCAAAAGAUUGUAUAAAAACUGAUUUACUCAAAAUAGAUAAAGGUGAAGUUCAAAUUGAAAUAACGGAGAUGUUCGGAGUUUAUUAAAACCUAGAAUUUACCUGUUCGAAAAAUAAAAAACACAACACCAUUUUUUUGCACUUUUAGAGACAACUCAUAAACGAAAAAAUGGUUGCUGGAAGUUCAAGUGCUCGGUGAGGAAAAGUUCAAAAAAUUCUUGUAAGAGAGGUUCACCGUGUAUUUAGAUGUCCAAAAUACAUAAAAAAUAUGUUGUUUUUUGUGUUUUAAAAUAAUUCUCUCAAACCAGAGAGAAGUUCAAAGUGAUAAUAGCCGGAAGUUCACGUACUACAUGGUGUGUAUUUCAUAUAAGAAAAAUAGAAUAAAGUGAAACAGAGUAAAGUUCAAACGGACAUGCCCUAGAAGUUCAACUACUUCACGUAGUGCAAAAAAAUAUCACAUCAAAAAUAGAGUGAGGACAGACAUGCCUGAGAAGUUCAACUACUUCACACAGUGUGUUUCCAUUCGCAAUGAAGGCAGAAAUCAUGAUCUCGUCAUUUCUCUAAUUUACUUCAAAACGAUAGGAAUAUCAUUUGUGUAAGUUCAAGUCCUCGGUCGGAGAAAGUUAAAAAAAUAUUGUGAGAGAGGUUUGUACAAAAAGAAUAUCAUUUGUGUAACACUGACGAAAUGGAUGAGAAAAUUACAAACAAAAAACGUCACAGAAGUUCAACGUGAAAACAACAGGAAGUUCGACUACUAUAGUGAAUGAAUUUGAGAUGAAAAACUUUUAAAAUCAUCGCGAGUAUGAAAAAACGAUCAACACGGGAAAGUUAUGUGCUUACAGCAGCUUUCCACCGGUAUAUCACUUUCUCAAUUCCGGUGAGUGGAUGGAGAGUUACGAGCAGUGGAUGGAGACCUACGAGCAAAAAAAUCACGUGAAAAACAGAGUGAAGUUCAGGUACACGCGCCGAGAAGUUCAGGUUCUUCACGCGGUGCAUUUUCGAAGAAUCUGUUUGACGAUAAAGGCAGAACGCAUGAUCUCGCCAUUUUCGAAAUUACUUGAAAAUGGCUAGGAAUCAGAGAAAACCAUCAACAUGAAAAAGUUUUGCAAUUUCCGUAGCUUUUCAGCGGUAUAUUAUUUGCCCCAUUCCGAUAAAGUUUGUAGAAAUUACGGCGAAAAUACGUUUUUCGCCAUUUUCGAAACUGACUUAAAACUGUAAAGAAUUGGGAGAAACAAUACAUACCAAAAAGUUUCACAUUUGUUCAAGAUUUCCAAAGCCAUAACAUUUGCUGCAUUCGGACAGACGGUUAAAAAAUUAGAUCAAAAAUACGAACUCGGUAGGACUAGGACCAUUUUCUAAAUUACUCUUAAACCAUUCAAAAUUAGAAAAAAACUUUCAAGAUGAAAAAGUAGCGCAUUUUCAUAAGCUUUACAAUGCCGUAUCAUAUGCCUCUAUUGGAUUAGCCGUUUAGAAAUGACAUCGAAAAUACGAACUCAGCUGUUCGAUUUACGAAAUUUUACGUUUUUUCAAAUUACUCUUUAACUAUAGGGAAUUAAAGAAAACUUUCAACAUGUGGAAGGAGCGGUUUUGCAGCAGCUUUCCAACGCCAUAUUAUAUGCCUCAUUAAGAUAAACGGUUUAGAAAUGCGGUCGAAAAUACGAUUCACGUUUUUUGUGCGAAGAAAAAACGGUUUUCAAAACUGCUCUUAAACCGCUUAUAUUUUGCCAAAAAUUUAAGUUGGAUAAUGAUACUGAUGUUCAAAACUUUCCAACGGUAUAUAGCAAGCCUCAUUUGGGCAAUGUUGGCGGAAGUUCAACCUAGUUCAUAGGGAAGUUCAGCGUACUACUAGCGGGGCAGGUCAGGUUGUGAUCAGAAUAUUAUUCUGAUCCCGUGAUUAGAAUAGUGUUUAUAUAUAUAUAUAUAUAUAUAUAUAUAUAUAUAUAUUAUAUUUGCCACAUUAACUUUAAGAGUUCAAUAUUAAUAUUUUCAUACAUAUCAAGUGAUAUUGGCGACCUUUUUUACCAUCAAAUCCUCGCGCACACACGCUAGUGCAUAACAAUAUGAAUUAUAUGUAUUAUAUUUGCCACCACAGCUGUGGGUAUUAAUUUCAUGUAAAUCGGUCAAUCACAGCUCCCAGAAUAUGCGAAGGAGGUGGCCUGAAUCGGCGUCGACGCCGUCCAGUGCGGGCCACGGGCCCGCUUCACUAGUAGAAAAAGGGCCUAUUGUCCCGGUUCGUAAGGGCCUUUUGUCCCGGUUCCUGAACCGGGACUAAAGGAUCGGUACUAAUUCCCUGUCCCUUUAGUCCUAGUUCAAUCCAGAACCGGGACAAAUGGGCCUCCACGUGGCCUGUGCGCGGAGCCCAGGCAGGAGGGCCUUUGGUCCUGGUUGGUGGCACCAACCGGGACCAAUAGGCAUCCACGCAUCAGCAUUUCUGUGGCUGGGGUUUNNNNNNNNNNNNNNNNNNNNNNNNNNNNNNNNNNNNNNNNNNNNNNNNNNNNNNNNNNNNNNNNNNNNNNNNNNNNNNNNNNNNNNNNNNNNNNNNNNNNNNNNNNNNNNNNNNNNNNNNNNNNNNNNNNNNNNNNNNNNNNNNNNNNNNNNNNNNNNNNNNNNNNNNNNNNNNNNNNNNNNNNNNNNNNNNNNNNNNNNNNNNNNNNNNNNNNNNNNNNNNNNNNNNNNNNNNNNNNNNNNNNNNNNNNNNNNNNNNNNNNNNNNNNUAGGUGUUUCAUAUAUUGUGUUAGCUAGCUAUAAUUAAUAGAGAGAAGUGUCCUCUCUUAUGUCCAUGCUUGGUCGGCGCUACGUACUAUACAUACGUAUAGAGAGGACUAGACAGGCUAGCUAGCUAGUUAGAAAACGAAGGAAACAGAAGAUCGUCAUGAACAUAUAUGCAUAGAGAGAGAAGUGAUAUCGACCACCUCUCCUUCUCCGAGAGAUUGGUCGAACAACAAGUUCUCGUAUAUCUAUCCGACACUACCGGCUACAUAUAUACAAUAAUUAUCUCUUACAAAUAUAAUCUCCUAACAUACGGACUCAUGGUCCACAUAGUAUUCUCCGUCUUCAGCGAUCACGUGGUCAAGAAAGAAUGCCGACAAUUCCUUUUGAAUUGCUCGCAUGCGAGCUGGUGCUAGGAGUUCAUCUCGCUUCCGAAACAUCUAAUUUGAAGAAGGGGCCGGGGUCAAUACAUAUAUAUAUGAAUGAAUGAAACUAAACACAAAUGAUGGUAAUAAAAUAAAAUUGUGAAUGUUGUUAUUUGCGCACUUCAUAUUGUUCAUCAGAGUAGCCCCGCUCACAGGCCGUGUGGUAGAUGGACUCGCAAACGUAGUAUCCACAGAAAUCAUUCCCUUGUAACUGCCACAACCCCUUUACAAGAAAUAGAGGUCAAUCAAACUGAUAAGCAAGAAUGCCAAAUGGUAUUGAUGAAACUAGCGCUUGAAUCAAUAGGAGAUGCGCGGAACAUGCUACUAUAGUACUUACUUUGGGGUGUCUAAAUUGCAGCUUCUCCGGGAGUCCCGGAGCUUUUUUGGUGAAUUUUUUCCAAACCCUGCCAGACAAAGAAAACAGUUACUUGAUAUAUCAGGAAAUGAACAAAGUUGCUGAUAUGGUGGAUAAUGAUCGAUUUAACUUACUUCUCGAGCAUUUGAGUCAUGUCCGCAUAGUCCUGGGGAUCUUUUCGUCUUGAGUCUAAGACGGUUACUAGUCCCUGCUCAAGCUUAAUCUCUAGGAGAAUAUAGUGGAAACUGCACACGCAUGCAUAACUCAUCAAUUACAUUACUAUAACCUUGACUAAUAUAUAAGGGAAACCGAAUAUGCACAAGACAGUAACACUCACUUGAAGUUGUAAGGAAAAAGUAUUAUAUCUUUGUUUUCAUUUAUUACCAACGAUCGUAGCAAGUUGGCCUCGGUAUCCGCGACAUGAAAUUUAACCUCAGUUGCAUCUAUGAUAUUUGUGUUAAUGAACCCAAUAUCACCGAUUUGUCUUUUCUUCAAUUCGACGAUCUUCAAUCUGCAUAAUAUAGUGAGGAUAAUUAUAAAUACAUGCAAUGAAAGAGCUGAGCUAUAUAGAGAGACUUAAUGACAGAAGUAGUACUACUUACAGACAGUAGCAGGUGACCGUUGCUUUAUCGAGGGCCAAUUGAUUGAAAAACUGAAAGAACUCCUCAAAUGGAACAGGUAACAAACACUAGUAGAAAAAGGGUCAAACGUGAAGCACAUUAGUGCCGGUUUGUAAAAAGACCGGCACUAAUGUGAUCAAUAGUGCCGGUUCGAAUGGCUAUGCAUUAGUGCCGGUUCGUAAUGAACCUUUAGUACCGGUUCAUGCCACGAACCGGUACUAAAGGGGUGGUGGCAGGCUGGCGUCAGGCCAGGCCCCACGAGCCCCUUUAGUGACGGUUUGUGACACAAACCGGUACUAAAGGUCUAACCUAUAGUACCGGUUUGUGUCACCAACCGGCACUACAAAGUCUUAACCUAUAGUCCCGGUUGAAGACACAAACCGACACUAUAGGGCAAUUUUCAAACUCUACCCCCCCCCCCGUGUAUCGCCAUUUCAGUUUUGAAAAAAUCAAAAGAAAAUGAUAAAAACUUCAAAAAAUAAAAUCCUUCGAGAGGUAGUUAUAUUACUACAUCUACUAGUUAGGAAAAUUUGAAAACUUAAAUUUGGACAUGUUUUGCAAAAAGUGUAGGGAAAAUGUAAAACGGCUAUAACUUUUGCAUAUGAUGUCGGAAAAAACGUAUAAUAUAUCAAAAAAUUCAGCACGAAAAUCCUCAAAUUCCAAAAGGAAAAAAAGAUAUGGUCAAAUUUAAGUUUUUUUUAAAAAAAAUUGGUUAAAUCUGGUCAAACUACUUAUUCAAGAAGUGUUAAUGUUACUACAUAAUUAUUCAAGAAUAUUAGUGUUACUAAAUAAUUAUUUCAAUUUUUUGAAUUUUGGUCAAAUCUGGUCAAACUAUGGUCAAACUGUGGUCAAACUAUGGUCAAACUUAUUCAAGAAAUAUUAGCGUUACUAAAUAAUUACUGUUUUUUUAGAAUAAUAGUUUCAAACUCAAACGGUGAAAUGUGUGACUUCAUGCUCAAGCUAAACUCCUGAGGGUUAAUAGGAUUAACAUCUUACUAUCAUCACGAAAACAACAAGUGCAGACAUGGAAACGAAGGAGAAUAGAACCCGAAAGUUAAGCGUGCUCGGGCUGGAGUAGUGAGAGGGAUGGGUGACCGGUCGAGAAGUUAGAUGAUUUGGAAUGAGUGAUCCACACUUGAGCAGUUAAGAGAGGUGAUUAGAGACUAAAUCAUCAAAUAAUUUAGAAAAAUUAAAAAAAUCAAAUUAAUUUUCAAAAAAAAUAUUCAAAAAAAAAACCAUUAGUACCGGUUGGUAACACCAACCGGUACUAAAGGUCCCCCAUACCAGGGCGUGAACUCACGCCACGUGGUGGCACUUUAGCGCCGGUUCGUGCCGAACCGGUACUAAAGGGGGGGGGGGCUUUAGUGCCGGUUCCAUAACCGGCACUAAAGGCACUUACAAACCGGUUUUAAAGCUCCGUUUUCUACUAGUGAAAUCAAUUCCAACGAGGUCAUGCUCCUUUUUAACUCUCACAUACAAAGUACUCCUCCCCUAGACUCUCUGCAGAUUUUCAAGUACCAAUCAUGCAAUCUUUGCAUCAUCGUUGAUAGAGAUCUUUCAUCUUUGACGAGAGGCUUCCCGUACUCGUAUCUUUGUAUCUGCACCUCCAUGAAAUCAUAAUGUACAUCGUCGGGCAGGUAAUCUCCAAGAUUGCUAUAACCGGGCACCAUCCUCGGAUCAUUAGCGACGAUGUCGCUAGGUACCUUGAGCGGGGGGGGGGGGGCACGAUUGCUUCCCUUGUUCGCCAAGCUGGGAAAUUUGUUUCCCAACUCGUCGUUCUUUCAGCCUUUGAUCACUGACAGUACUUCCCGACCGCUCCGCUUCGGCAAAUUCCUUUCCAAUAAUGCGCUCAUAGUUUCCUUUCGGUGGAGACUUGGGUGGUUUUGUUAGGGCAGCCAGAGUGCGCUUCGCUUUCACCGGAUCUACCUUCUCCUCCAGAGGUGGAUGUUUCUUUGCUUUCACCCCUUCAAAGAAGUUCCUGACUUCUUCUCGCACGAUCUCGGCGUUCUCCUCCGGGGUCCUCUCGUAUGGUAACUUCUCUGGAGUCUUUAGAGAAGGACCGAAUCUGUAUGUCCUCCCGCCUCUGGCUGUACUGCUAGACGCCGGCAGAGCAGACGGAGCGGUUGUCUUCUUUACUUGCUUACGAGGCAGAGGAGAAGGACUACGACGCACCAGAGCAGCCGGAGCGGCCGCAGGUCUCUUCCGCCCUUGCUGACGAGGCGGAGAAGGAGGAGGCUGGCUGCUCGGGCGCGCCGGCGCAGGCGGAGAAGGAGGCGGAGUGCCGCCACGCGCCGGAGAAGGAGCCGGCCGAGUGCCCUGAUAGUCACUCGCCAGAGGAGGAGGCGGUGGAGGGGGCGGAGUGCCCUGACUCGCCGAAGGAGGAGGAGGAGGCGGAGGCAUCCAAUUCGGAAGGUUCAUGACCUCCUUCCGCCAUAGGCAUGGAGUCUUCAGAGCAGAACCCAGCCGAGUCUCCCCUUCACCGGUAGGGUGGUCAAGCUGGAGGUCCUCAAAUCCCUCCGUUAUUUCAUCCACCAUCACCCUAGCAUAUCAUUCUGUAAUCGGCCGGCAGUGAAAAGUUGCGCUGGGUUCAGUAGGAAAAACAGAGCCAAUAGCCGCCUUGACCUUCAUAUUAACCCAUUGCGUCAUAAGGUGGCAAUUAUGAGACUCCGUGAUAGCAUCCACGGGAUAGCUGGCAGGAGCCGUCAAGACAUGCUCCUGCUGAAGCAGCUCGGUGGAAGCCAUGCUGCUUCUCCGCUGAGAUGGCGGGGUAGCUUCGGCAGUUCGUUUUGUGCGAUUUGCUUCUCGUUCCUCUAUUGCUUGUACCCUAGCGUGCAGCGCCUGCAGUUGGGUCUGCUCCACUUUCUUCCUCCUCUCGUGGCAUUUGUAACCGCCUGCGUCCGGAAACCCAGCCUUACACGGAAUGGAGCCUGGCGUGCCUCAUGUCCGUCCAGGGUGUUCAGGAUUCCCGAGGGCCAUUGUGAGCUCGUCGUUCUCUCUGUCUGGAACAAACAUACCUUGCUGCGCUGCUUCGAUAUAGUGCUUAAGCCUCUUGACUGGUAUUUCCAUUUGCUCGUCCGUCCAAAUGCACUUUCCUGAUACAGGGUCCAAGGUUUCACCAGCCCCGAAGAACCAAGUCCGGUAACGGUCUGUCCAGUUAAUUGUCUCUGGUUCGAUCCCUUUAUCAACCAGAUCAUUCUCAAUCUUGGCCCACUUAGGCCGAGCUGCCAGGUAGCCACCUGACCCCGUGCGAUGGUGAUGCUUCUUCUUCACAGCAUUUUGCUUGUUUGUCGACGACAUCUUCUUACUCUUUUCCGAUGUCUUGUGGGCCACAAAUGCGGGUCAGUGAUCUCUGAUCUUCUCAUAUCUGCCCUUGAAUUCCGGUGUCUCUUUAUUUUCGACAAACUUAUUCAGCUCUUUCUUCCACCUCCUGAAUAGUUCUGCCAUCCUCUUAAGAGCAAAAGACUUGAUUAAUUGCUCUUUAACUGGCUUCUCCGGAUCAUCCUCUGGCUGUAGGGUGAAAUUUGACUUCAGCUCAGUCCAAAGAUCAUUUUUCUGCAUAUCAUUGACAUAAGACACCUCAGGGUCUUCUGUAGCCGGCUUUAACCAUUGCUGCAUGCUGAUCGGGAUCUUGUCCCUAACCAAAACCCCGCACUGAGCAACAAAUGCGCUCUUUGUCCGGAUAGGUUCAUUCGGUUGGCCCUCGGGCGCGAUUGCUAUGAUCUCAAACUUUUCAUCCGAGCUCAACUUUUUCUUCGGGCCUCGUCUCUUUACCGAAGUUGUGCUCGAUCCGGAGGGCUAGAAAAAAGAACAAAGACUUAAUUAAUAUGUGUACAUACCAAAACAAUGAAUGCAUCAAUUAGCUAGUCAGCAGAAGCUUAACUAAUACUAGAUCAUUGAUGGUGCGUGUUGUUGCGCCCAUCUAUUUUGGAUCUUGGUUGUUAAGGAUAUAACAUUGCUAGUAUACAUUUCUUGCAUUGUUUUAAAAUAUUAUGCUUUCUAUAGCAUGUACUUCUCUUUAUUUUCAAAAUAAUGGUAUGUAAAUCAUCUUCAUUGGGGCAACAUUACAACUUCCAUAUCAACAUAAGCUUAGAUAUAAAUAGGGCAGUGCCAUAAGCCAACCUAUCCAUAUCCACGUUAUAAUAAUGGAUGGCUAUGUACAUUUUUGUUCAAGCAUAGUACAAGCUUGUUGCAGUUGCAUAGGAACAUAGACUUAAACAUAAUAUAAACUUGAAAUGUAUAAUGAUGGAAGAAGGCGGCAUGACAGUAUAUUAUACUUGGAAAACAAAUUGUACGAUGGAGUAGAGCGAACUGGAGAAGAUGUAGACCUCAAAUAGGCACCAGAAACACUGCACCAAAAUUUCUAUGAUUAUGGAUACAUCCAACAUGGCGGACGGUCAGAGGGCAUGAGAAGUAUAAUCAUAUACUAUCUAAGAAAAUCAAGACUCUUGAUUAUUACAUCAAAAGCAAGGCACAGAACAAGCUUACAUAUCGUAUUGUUCGUGCUAACACAAAUAAUAAUAUCUUCUAACACACGAAUGUAAUUUGGCCAAAAGAUAAUUUCUUCAUACGAAUUCCAACGUCACUACAUUUUUUUUCAUUGGGGCUUAAAAAUUGUUUGACCGUUUUACAUGAGAUAGAAAGAACUGACUGAACCGAGCAACAAAAGGCAACAAAAACACAAAUCAGUUUCCUCUCAUUCUCUGCCUACAUCAUAUUUUUUUUCCUGUAAAUAUAUCUUGUGAUUCAUCAUUGUUUCAGACCGUAAGGGCCGGAAGCUCUACCUAAGGCGGCUGCCAUACAAGGAUACACACAGCUUCGCCUUAAACACCCUCCUUGUGGCGAUGCUUAGAAAGGGAAUAACCUCAUGUAUUACCUUGCUCGGAAUAGCCAUGUUUUCAAAUCCCAACUAAUCCACCUUAAUCCUAACAUCAAAUGAACACAACAUUAACUUGAGAUCAGACGCUAUGGAGUCAGAGUGAUUGCAUGACUCGAGGCACAAGGCAACAGGCUGGGGUGAAGGCGUGGCAGCUGCAUGCCACCACGAAACACCGGCGAGCAGAGAACCGGAAGAUACAUAAUCGUUUAUGUCUUAUGAGUUAAUUUCUCCACUCAUUGCACGCUACAAAACAUUAGCGAGUAUACAUAGGAUGUCCCUUUCUGAACAACUACAUAAUAUAUAAAUUCCAAUUGCAUUAGGGAUUUCAUCUAGAGUAUAUUCCCUGAAUUAUUUGAAAUGAAGUAAUGGUUUUUCUAAUCCUACUUUGACCUGGAGCAUCACUCUGAAACAUCAGGGAACACACACAUCUUCAGAAGUAGCAGCAGUAGCUAAUGUGAAAAGUUCACUGGAAUGCUAGGAUACUAAAAAAGCUAGUACAUCCCAAUAGCCAAAGAACAUAACAAAAUUUGGCAUCAUGUGUCAAGUAGCUCACAGUGGGCAUAAAUUUGUACAUUAUAUGUCCCUUUAUUAACUCACUUGUCUCUGAUUUUUAACUAUUAGGAAAUAAUAGUGGUCAUCAAAAUUAGAAUAUAUUGUAAUGCUCUAGAAUAGGAUCUAAUUGUUGGGAGUUGUUACCUGAGGGAAUCCUUGCGGGGAGCUGAGCAUAGGAACCAAUGCUGUUCCGCACUGUCCACGUGACUGACCACCGUGCUGCCUCCAUGAGCCGAUGUGGAACUUCUACCAACAAGUGAUUUGUACAUGACUGCUCAAGCAAACUAAACCACUAAAUCCAAAGGGGAUUCGUUCCAGAAAGGUGCAACACCUUGAGAAAUCUACGUGUAGAAUUGAAGAGGGGAGAGUAUCAGGAGGUAAACCUAGAGAACCUGCAUAGUUUGUGAGUACAAAGAACAGUAUGAGUAAAAUAAAUUUCAAAAAUUGGAUUAGAUGAAGAAUCAGGUGAAGAGGAGAUAAAGGAAAGAACCAUCACCCAUUGCUGCACGAGAGUGGUUUUCAGAAGUAAGGGGAGUAGGGAAGGAGCAACAGCACUUUGGAUCGUAUAUUCGUAUAUGCGCGCGAGUGAAUUGAAGUAAAAAGCAUGAAUCAUCAGACCUGCAAUAAUCUUCAGUUUAGCCGGUUCAUCAAUUGCCAUUAAUCGAUCCUGAUUAAAACCUCAACGAAUCGAUGGCUAGUGAAUUUCAAUCGACAGCGGCUGUUCGCGGCCCUGACCAUCUCCCUAUUGCGUCACCGACCAGGACGCCGUUCGGUCGCUCGGCGAGGAGCGCCGUGUCAGUCGGACCUGAAGCACAGUGGCCAUGAGACACCAUCGGUCGCGUCGAUCCGACCCCAACACGGCCGCCAUCACUACUGCCCAGAUUCUGCUGCCAGCCGACAGCAGCAACCGUGCGAAACUGCGAACCAAAGGAUCUGGCGACGACGCGCCUGAGAACUCUAGAUAUGGCUUGAAAACCAGAAAUAUGCUUCACGGAUGUAGAGCGUGUUUGGUUGAGUUCCAGGAGCAAAAUUGCCUGGCCUGAGACCUUCCUGGGUUGUGCCUGCUUGUUGUUUGGAUAGUAGCCUCAAAUCACAGGCAUGUUCCUGGCCUGGAGUUGACAUGCACCUGAUUAGCCUGGGUAGAUCACAGGCAGCUUGAUUAGCCUGGAUGAGGCCAACGGAACCAGACGCCUGGCCUCCAGGCAGAUGCGUUUUGCGUCAAUUAGCAAGUUGUAUACUGUACUUUUUGUCAACUCAGCCGUCCCAUCUAAUUAUUUAAUAUUUAAGUACGUGUCCCAGGCCAGGUUUGCAACCAAACAUCACAUGCACACAGCAGCCUGGCCAGGCAAAAAUCCUCCUUCUCCCAGGCUACUAUCAGGCAUCAACUUUUGCUAGGCAUCACACCCAGGACAUGAACCAAACAUGCCCGUAGUGCGUCACUGACCUGGGGAUGAGCUCGUCGCCGGCUCGAGAAAAAGUCGCUCCCUGCUGCGCUUUUGGGGAAGAUAGGAAAUGUAGAAGAAUGAGCCAAUCUAGUGAAUCCCGUGGAACUUAAUGGAACCUGCACUCAUUUGGGAGCACAAAGAACAACAUCAAUUGAAAAAAAUUCAUGCAGAAUUUGGGGGAGAGUAGAGGUACCAACGAGGGAACACUUGUAAAAGGCCAGUAGCGGAGACUAAUUAUCGUCCUGUCAACCAUGGCAGCCUGCAAGUAAAAGGAGGAGAAUGAGGAAGGAGAAGCUCCACGAUGGAGAUUAAAUGGACGCAAUUGAAUGGAUGUUGUAACUGAGCCCAGUUAUUGGCCACCGGUGAGUGCGCCUCAUCGAUUGCAAAUUUGCCAUUAUAAUGGUCCGCUGCAACUAUGAAUUGAGUCCCGAAUCGCGGGCAACUGGAGGCAACCGACAGGGGACGAUCCGUUGCCCCGGAUACCUCCUGCUGGCGUCGCCCAGCGAGGCAACCCGGCCGGUCGCGUAGGUCGAGGCACAUCCGGUCGGUCCAAUCGACCUCGCAUCGGCACUGUUUUUUUUUCUCGCAUCAGGACUGGAUGAACGCUCAUCGGUCGCUCGUGUGUAACCCUAGUCGAUGGAACCGCACAAGUGGACCUUCUUCAGCGAAGCCCGUGGGCUGGAAUGGGCUGGCCGACGGCCCAGUUAACCACAGGGCUACGUUUUGGCCUGCGGAGCAGAAGCCCCAGGACAGCCGGCCCAGUUUUUAUCAGAUGUGGGACAGAUUGCUUUAAACAGGAGAUCCGACGACCAAAAACGUCUAGAUCGUGCAAACGGAUGGUCAGAAACGCGAAGCGCUGAGAGAGCUCGCUUUAGGUGCAGUUGUAUUGUACUUAAUAUAUACCUGGCCGGACUCGGUUCGGUCACCAGAGACGUCAUCACGGUCUCCUUCUUGCACCGGCAUUGUGUCACCGGAGCCGUCCUCACGGUCUCCUUCUUGCACCGGCAUUAGGUCACCGGAGCCAUCAUAAUCAUAGCCAGCUGCUUCCAUACCAUCGGUGUCGUUGAGAAACAACGAGCAGACGGCAUCCCUUCCUCGUGCGAUUAUGUCCCCCAACAACUCUUCUUGUACUUCGUCUCGGGCGGUGUCCAUAGUUUCUACAAAUAUUUAUAACAUGGCAAUUAUUAUUCAAACAUGACAGAUGGAUAUAUUAGUGGCAAACGUAGAACUAAUAUUAAUUAGUGGCCUCGACGCUACUUCUCUAGGGUUUGGGGUGGCCUCGACGCUGCUUCUCCAGGGUUUGAAGUGGCCUCGACAACGCUUCAAGGAUAAAAAAAGAAGAGGAAGAAGAAAAAAAGGGGAGAAGAAAGAAUAGAUCCUCUUUUUUUUUCUUCUUCUUCCUCUUUUUUUUUAUCGGGAACGAGGGUCGUCGACGCCCACGUCACUUGUGGGACGUGGAUGUAGUGUCCGACACCGAUGGCCACAUGUAUCUCACACCCACGAUACUUACUAUUUAGGGUUUCCUCUACCGCUCGGCGACCCUGACCCUCGACGACCCUCGUUUCNNNNNNNNNNNNNNNNNNNNNNNNNNNNNNNNNNNNNNNNNNNNNNNNNNNNNNNNNNNNNNNNNNNNNNNNNNNNNNNNNNNNNNNNNNNNNNNNNNNNNNNNNNNNNNNNNNNNNNNNNNNNNNNNNNNNNNNNNNNNNNNNNNNNNNNNNNNNNNNNNNNNNNNNNNNNNNNNNNNNNNNNNNNNNNNNNNNNNNNNNNNNNNNNNNNNNNNNNNNNNNNNNNNNNNNNNNNNNNNNNNNNNNNNNNNNNNNNNNNNNNNNNNNNNNNNNNNNNNNNNNNNNNNNNNNNNNNNNNNNNNNNNNNNNNNNNNNNNNNNNNNNNNNNNNNNNNNNNNNNNNNNNNNNNNNNNNNNNNNNNNNNNNNNNNNNNNNNNNNNNNNNNNNNNNNNNNNNNNNNNNNNNNNNNNNNNNNNNNNNNNNNNNNNNNNNNNNNNNNNNNNNNNNNNNNNNNNNNNNNNNNNNNNNNNNNNNNNNNNNNNNNNNNNNNNNNNNNNNNNNNNNNNNNNNNNNNNNNNNNNNNNNNNNNNNNNNNNNNNNNNNNNNNNNNNNNNNNNNNNNNNNNNNNNNNNNNNNNNNNNNNNNNNNNNNNNNNNNNNNNNNNNNNNNNNNNNNNNNNNNNNNNNNNNNNNNNNNNNNNNNNNNNNNNNNNNNNNNNNNNNNNNNNNNNNNNNNNNNNNNNNNNNNNNNNNNNNNNNNNNNNNNNNNNNNNNNNNNNNNNNNNNNNNNNNNNNNNNNNNNNNNNNNNNNNNNNNNNNNNNNNNNNNNNNNNNNNNNNNNNNNNNNNNNNNNNNNNNNNNNNNNNNNNNNNNNNNNNNNNNNNNNNNNNNNNNNNNNNNNNNNNNNNNNNNNNNNNNNNNNNNNNNNNNNNNNNNNNNNNNNNNNNNNNNNNNNNNNNNNNNNNNNNNNNNNNNNNNNNNNNNNNNNNNNNNNNNNNNNNNNNNNNNNNNNNNNNNNNNNNNNNNNNNNNNNNNNNNNNNNNNNNNNNNNNNNNNNNNNNNNNNNNNNNNNNNNNNNNNNNNNNNNNNNNNNNNNNNNNNNNNNNNNNNNNNNNNNNNNNNNNNNNNNNNNNNNNNNNNNNNNNNNNNNNNNNNNNNNNNNNNNNNNNNNNNNNNNNNNNNNNNNNNNNNNNNNNNNNNNNNNNNNNNNNNNNNNNNNNNNNNNNNNNNNNNNNNNNNNNNNNNNNNNNNNNNNNNNNNNNNNNNNNNNNNNNNNNNNNNNNNNNNNNNNNNNNNNNNNNNNNNNNNNNNNNNNNNNNNNNNNNNNNNNNNCGGGACUAAAGGGGGGCAUUGGUCACGGUUUGUGCCACGAACCGUGACCAAUGCCCCCUUUAGUCCCGGUUGGUGCCAUCAACCGGGACCAAAGGCCUGCGCCUGCCAAAGCCGUGGUGCGGUAGGAUGUUUAGUCCCACCUCGCUAGCUGAGGAGCGGCCGCACCUGUUUAUAAGCGCUGCACCUGUUUGGGCCUAAUCUCACAACGCUAUGCCUGCUGGGCCUUCUGCGGGCCUGAAUCCUGGCCCAUGGAUGGGCUUCUAGUCGUAUUCAGGCCGUGGUGGCCCAGUAGGUGGCAUUUUUUAUUACUAUUUGAUUUUUCAUUUCUACUUAGAACUAAAUACUUGUAGUUUUUUAGUGAUUUUUUUCUUUUAGGUCACAAAAAUUAUAAACUUUCUAUUAUUGCCAUUAGUUUUAAAAUUUGAAUAGUUUAAUUUUGAAUUUUUUAAAAUUUGUGUGAAUCACUAGUUUAUGAAUAACUUUACCGUAAAAAUUGAUUUUUGAGUCAUUUUUUUCCUGCUAUUUAAUAUUACUGUGUUUUAUCAUUAUACUCAAUUUGGUAAUUUUAGUUAGUCAUAACAAAUAUUAUAGGCAUUUUUUUCUUUUUUGCUAUUUUUUUUCAUUUCUACUUAGAACAAAAUACUUAUAGUUCUUUAGUGAUUUCUUUUUUCUUUUAGGUCACAAAAAUUAUAAACUUUCUGGUAGUUCCAUUAGUUUUCANNNNNNNNNNNNNNNNNNNNNNNNNNNNNNNNNNNNNNNNNNNNNNNNNNNNNNNNNNNNNNNNNNNNNNNNNNNNNNNNNNNNNNNNNNNNNNNNNNNNNNNNNNNNNNNNNNNNNNNNNNNNNNNNNNNNNNNNNNNNNNNNNNNNNNNNNNNNNNNNNNNNNNNNNNNNNNNNNNNNNNNNNNNNNNNNNNNNNNNNNNNNNNNNNNNNNNNNNNNNNNNNNNNNNNNNNNNNNNNNNNNUUAAUUCUUUUUGCUUUUCGUUUUAGAAAAAUUAUAAACUUUCUGUUAGUGCCAUUAGUUUUCAAAUUUGAAAACACUUUUUUAGUUUUUUUGCUUUCUUUGUUGCUUUAUUUAUUUUAUUUUGUUUCUACUUACAAAAAAAUACUUAUUGUUGCUAUUUUUUUUCAGUUUUUGUUUUGUUUUCUUUAUUAUUUAUUUUCUUUUGUUUUUUGCUUUAAUUUUUAAUUCUUUUUGCUUUUAGGUCAGCAAAAUUAUAAACUUUCUGUUAGUGCCACUAGUUUUAGAAAAAUUAUAAACUUUCUGUUAGUGCCAUUAGUUUUCAAAUUUGAAUAGUUAAAAUUUGAAUUCUUUAAAAUUUGUAUGAACCACAAGUUUGUGAUUAACUUUACUAAAAAAAUGAACAUAGAUGCACCUAUAGAGAAAAUUCGACCUAAAUUCAUAGUUUUCAAAUGAACUCUCAAAAAGUUGGCAUAGCAUACUCGUGUGUUACAAAGUUGGCAUGGUAUCAUCAUAAUAGUUGCUUGAGAAAGUCUUCACUUUUUCUUCGCUUGUGUCAUUUGCUUAUUGCGCCGUAACCAUGGAUAAUCUUCAUCGUUUAUCAGGAUGCUUGGGUCAGCCUUGACAUUGAAGGGAGGAAUUUCAUGAAACUUUUCAUAAUCUUCAGACAUGUCUGUCUUGCCCUCCACUCCCAGGAUAUCCCUUUUUCCUGAAAGAACUAUAUGGCGCUUUGGCUCAUCGUAUGAUGUAUUCGCUUCCUUAUCUUUUCUUUUUCUCGGUUUGGUAGACAUGUCCUUCACAUAGAUAACCUGUGCCACAUCAUUGGCUAGGACGAACGGUUCGUCAGUAUACCCAAGAUUUUUCAGAUCCACUGUUGUCAUUCCGUACUGUGGGUCUACCUGUACCCCGCCGCCUGACAGAUUGACCCAUUUGCACUUAAACAAAGGGACCUUAAAAUCAUGUCCGUAGUCAAGUUCCCAUAUGUCCAUUAUGUAACCAUAAUAUGCAUCCUUUCCGCUCUCGGUUGCUGCAUCAAAGCGGACACCGCUGUUUUGGUUGGUGCUCUUUUGAUCUUGGGCGAUCAUGUAAAAUGUAUUCCCAUUUAUCUCGUAUCCUUUGUAAGUCAAUACAGUCAAAGAUGGUCCCCUGGACAACAAGUGCAACUCAUCACAAACAGUGUUGUCACCUCUGAGACGUGUUUCCAACCAACUGUUGAAAGUCCUGAUGUGUUCACAUGUAAUCUAGUCGUCGCACUGCUCCGGAUGUUUGGAGCGCAGACUGUUUUUGUGUUCAUCGAUAUACGGGGCCACCAUGGUAGAGUUCUGUAGAACUGUGUAGUGUGCUUGAGACCAAGAAUAUCCGUCCCUGCAUAUUAUUGAGUCACUUCCAAGAGUGCCUUUUCCAGUCAGUCUCCCCUCAUACCGCGAUUUAGGGAGACCUAUCUUCUUAAGGCCAGGAAUGAAGUCAACACAAAAUUCGAUAACAUCCUCUGUUUGAUGGCCCAUGGAGAUGCUUCCUUCUGACCUAGCGCGGUUACGGACAUAUUUCUUUAGGACUCCCAUGAACCUCUCAAAGGGGAACAUAUUGUGUAGAAAUACGGGCCCCAGGAUGACAAUCUCGUCGACUAGAUGAACUAGGACGUGCGUCAUGAUAUUGAAGAAGGAUGGUGGGAACACCAGCUCGAAACUGACAAGACAUUGCGCCACAUCACUCCUUAGCCUUGGUACAAUUUCUGGAUCGAUCACCUUCUGAGAGAUUGCAUUGAGGAAUGCACAUAGCUUCACAAUGGCUAAUCGGACGUUUUCUGGUAGAAGCCCCCUCAAUGCAGCCGGAAGCAGUUGCGUCAUAAUCACAUGGCAGUCAUGAGACUUUAGGUUCUGAAACUUUUUCUCUGGCAUAUUUAUUAUUCCCUUUAUAUUCGAUGAGAAGCCAGUCGUGACCUUCAUACUGAGCAGGCAUUCAAAGAAGAUUUCUUUCUCUUCUUUCGUAAGAGCAUAGCUGGCAGGACCUUUAUACUGCUUCGGAGGCAUGCCGUCUUUUUCAUGCAAAUGUUGCAGGUCCUCCCAUGCCUCGGAUGUAUCUUUUGUCUUCCCAUACAAGAAGCCUACCAGGUUCACACAAAGGUUCUUCAUCACGUGCAUCACGUCGAUUGAAGAGCAGACCUCUAGGUCUUUCCAGUAGGGUAGGUCCCAAAAUAUAGAUUUCUUCUUCCACAUGGGUGCGUGUCCCUCAGCGUCAUUCGGAACAGCUAGUCCGCCGGGACACUUUCCAAAGAUUACAUGUAAAUCAUUGACCAUAGCAAGUACGUGAUCACCGGUACGCAUGGCGGGCUUCUUCUGGUGAUCUGCCUCGCCUUUGAAAUGCUUGCCUUUCUUUCGACAUUGAUGGUUGGUCGGAAGAAAUCAACGAUGGCCCAGGUACACAUUUUUCCUGCAUUUGUCCAGGUAUAUACUUUCAGUGUCAUCUAAACAGUGCGUGCAUGCGUGGUAUCCUUUGUUUGUCUAUCCUGAAAGGUUACUGAGAGCGGGCCAAUCAUUGACGGUCACGAACAGCAAAGCCUUUAGGUUAAAUUCCUCCUGUCUAUGGUCAUCCCACGUACGUACACUGUUUCCAUUCCACAGCUGUAAAAGUUCUUCAACUAAUGGCCUUAGGUACACAUCAAUGUCCUUGCCGGGUUGCUUAGUGUAGGGGAACAUAGUAAUUUCAAAAUUUUCCUACGCACACGCAAGAUCAUGGUGAUGCAUAGCAACGAGAGGGGAGAGUGUUGUCUAUGUACCCUCGUAGACCGAAGCGGAAGCGCUGACACAACGUAGAGGAAGUAGUCGUACGUCUUCCCGAUCCUACCGAUCCAAGCACCGUUACUCCGGCACCUCCGAGUUCUUAGCACACGUACAGCUCGAUGACGCUCCCCAGGCUUCGAUCCAACAAAGCUUCGGGGAUGAGUUCCAUCAGCACAACGGCGUGGUGACGAUGAUGAUGUUCUACCGACGCAGGGCUUCGCCUAAGCACUACAAUGAUAUGACCGAGGUGGAAUAUGGUGGAAGGGGGCACCGCACACGGCUAAGGAACGAUCACGUUGAUCAAUUGUGUGUUCUAGGGUGUCCCCUUGCCUCCGUAUAUAAAGGAUCCAAGGGGGAGGGGUUCGGCCGGCCCUAUGGAGGCGCAGGAGGAGUCCUACUCCUACCGGGAGUAGGACUCCCCCCUUUCCUAGUCCAAGUAGGAUUGGUGGAGAAGAAAGGGAAAGAGGGGGGUGCAGCCCCUCCCUCCUUGUCCAAUUCGGACUAGGGGGAGAGGGGGCGCGCGGCCUGCCCUGGCAGCCCCUUCCUAUUCUCCACUUUAGGCCCAUGAGGCCCAUUAACACCCCGGGGGGUUCCGGUAACCCCCCGGUGCUCCGGUUUUAUCCGAAACUUCAUCGGAACCCUUCCGGUGUCUGAAUAUAGUCAUCCAAUAUAUCAAUCUUUAUGUCUCGACCAUUUCGAGACUCCUCGUCAUGCCCGUGAUCACAUCCGGGACACCGAACUAACUUCGGUACAUCAAAAUGUAUAAACUCAUAAUAACUAUCAUCGUAACGUUAAGCGUGCGGACCCUAUGGUUCGAGAACAAUGUAGACAUGACCGAGACACGUCUCCGGUCAAUAACCAAUAGCGGGACCUGGAUGCCCAUAUUGGCUCCUACAUAUUCUACGAAGAUCUUUAUCGGUCAGACCGCAUAACAACAUACGUUGUUCCCUUUGUCAUCGGUAUGUUACUUGCCCGAGAUUCGAUCGUCGGUAUCCAAUACCUAGUUCAAUCUCGUUACCGGCAAAUCUCUUUACUCGUUCCGUAAUACAUCAUCUCACAACUAACUCAUUAGUUGUAAUGCUUGCAAGGCUUAUGUGAUGUGCAUUACCGAGAGGGCCCAGAGAUACCUCUCCGACAAUCGGAGUGACAAAUCCUAAUCUCGAAAUACGCCAACCCAACAUCUACCUUUGGAGACACCUGUAGAGCACCUUUAUAAUCACCCAGUUACGUUGUGACGUUUGGUAGCACACAAAGUGUUCCUCCGGCAAACGGGAGUUGCAUAAUCUCAUAGUCAUAGGAACAUGUAUAAGUCAUGAAGAAAGCAAUAGCAACAUACUAAACGAUCGGGUGCUAAGCUAAUGGAAUGGGUCAUGUCAAUCAGAUCAUUCAACUAAUGAUGUGAUCUCGUUAAUCAAAUAACAACUCUUUGUUCAUGGUUAGGAAACAUAACCAUCUUUGAUUAACGAGCUAGUCAAGUAGAGGCAUACUAGUGACACUCUGUUUGUCUAUGUAUUCACACAUGUAUUAUGUUUCCGGUUAAUACAAUUCUAGCAUGAAUAAUAAACAUUUAUCAUGAUGUAAGGAAAUAAAUAAUAACUUUAUUAUUGCCUCUAGGGCAUAUUUCCUUCAGUCUCCCACUUGCACUAGAGUCAAUAAUCUAGAUUACACAGUAAUGAUUCUAACACCCAUGGAGCCUUGGUGCUGAUCAUGUUUUGCUCGUGGAAGAGGCUUAGUCAACGGGUCUGCAACAUUCAGAUCCGUAUGUAUCUUGCAAAUCUCUAUGUCUCCCACCUGGACUAGAUCCCGGAUGGAAUUGAAGCGUCUCUUGAUGUGCUUGGUUCUCUUGUGAAAUAUGGAUUCCUUUGCCAAGGCAAUUGCACCAGUAUUGUCACAAAAGAUUUUCAUUAGACCCGAUGCACUAGGUAUGACACCUAGAUCGGAUAUGAACUCCUUCAUCCAGACUCCUUCGUUUGCUACUUCCGAAGCAGCUAUGUACUCCGCUUCACAUGUAGAUCCCGCCACAAUGCUUUGUUCAGAACUGCACCAACUGACAGCUCAACCGUUUAAUGUAAACAUGUAUCCGGUUUGUGAUUUAGAAUCGUCCGGAUCAGUGUCAAAGCUUGCAUCAACGUAACCGUUUACGAUGAGCUCUUUGUCACCUCCAUAUACGAGAAACAUAUCCUUAGUCCUUUUCAGGUACUUCAGGAUGUUCUUGACCGUUGUCCAGUGAUCCACUCCUGGAUUACUUUGGUACCUCCCUGCUAAACUUAUAGCAGGGCACACAUCAGGUCUGGUACACAGCAUUGCAUACAUGAUAGAGCCUAUGGCUGAAGCAUAGGGAACAUCUUUCAUUUUCUCUCUAUCUUCUGAAGUGGUCGGGCAUUGAGUCUGACUCAACUUCACACCUUGUAACACAGGCAAGAACCCUUUCUUUGCUUGAUCCAUUUUGAACUUCUUCAAAAUCUUGUCAAGGUAUGUGCUUUGUGAAAGUCCAAUUAAGCGUCUUGAUCUAUCUCUAUAGAUCUUUAUGCCUAAUAUGUAAGCAGCUUCACCGAGGUCUUUCAUUGAAAAACUCUUAUUCAAGUAUCCCUUUAUGCUAUCCAGAAAUUCUAUAUCAUUUCCAAUCAGUAAUAUGUCAUCCACAUAUAAUAUCAGAAAUGCUAUAGAGCUCCCACUCACUUUCUUGUCAAUACAGGCUUCUCCAAAAGUCUGUACAAAACCAAAUGCUUUGAUCACACUAUCAAAGCGUUUAUUCCAACUCCGAGAGGCUUGCACCAGUCCAUAAAUGGAUCGCUGGAGCUUGCACACUUUGUUAGAUCCUUUCGGAUCGACAAAACCUUCCGGUUGCAUCAUAUACAACUCUUCUUCCAGAAAUCCAUUCAGGAAUGCAGUUUUGACAUCCAUCUGCCAAAUUUCGUAAUCAUAAAAUGCGGCAAUUGCUAACAUGAUUCGAACGGACUUAAGCAUCGCUACGGGUGAGAAGGUCUCAUCAUAGUCAACCCCUUGAACUUGUCCAAAACCUUUUGCGACAAGUCGAGCUUUGUAGACAGUAACAUUACCGUCAGCGUCAGUCUUUUUCUUGAAGAUCCAUUUAUUCUCAAUUGCUUGCCGACCAUCGGGCAAGUUAACCAAAGUCCAUACUUUGUUCUCAUACAUGGAUCCCAUUUCAGAUUUCAUGGCUUCAAGCCAUUUUGCGGAAUCUGGGCUCACCAUCGCUUCUUCAUAGUUAGUAGGUUCAUCAUGAUCUAGCAGCAUGAUUUCUAGAACAGGAUUACCGUACCACUCUGGCGCGGAUCUCACUCUGGUUGAUCUACGAGGUUCAGUAGUAUCUUGUCCUGAAGUUUCAUGAUCAUUAUCAUUAGCUUCCUCACUUAUGGGUGUAGGUGUCGCAGAAACAGUUUUCUGUGAUGUACUUCUUUCCAAUAAGGGGGCAGGUACAGUUACCUCGUCAAGUUCUACUUUCCUCCCACUCACUUCUUUCGAGAGAAACUCCUUCUCUAGAAAGGAUCCAUUCUUAGCAACGAAUGUCUUGCCUUCGGAUCUGUGAUAGAAGGUGUACCCAACAGUCUCCUUUGGGUAACCUAUGAAGACACAUUUCUCCGAUUUGGGUUCAAGCUUAUCAGGUUGAAGCUUUUUCACAUAAGCAUCGCAGCCCCAGACUUUAAGAAACGACAACUUUGGUUUCUUGCCAAACCAUAGUUCAUAAGGCGUCGUCUCAACGGAUUUUGAUGCUGCCCUAUUUAACGUGAAUGCGGCCGUCUCUAAAGCAUAACCCCAAAACGAUAGCGGUAAAUCAGUAAGAGACAUCAUAGAUCGCACCAUAUCUAGUAAAGUACGAUUACGACGUUCGGACACACCAUUACGCUGUGGUGUUCCGGGUGGCGUGAGUUGCGAAACUAUUCCGCAUUGUUUCAAAUGUACACCAAACUCGUAACUCAAAUAUUCUCCUCCAUGAUCAGAUCGUAGAAACUUUAUUUUCUCGUUACGAUGAUUUUCAACUUCACUCUGAAAUUCUUUGAACUUUUCAAAUGUUUCAGACUUGUGUUUCAUUAAGUAGAUAUACCCAUAUCUGCUUAAAUCAUUUGUGAAGUUGAGAAAAUAACGAUAUCCGCCACGAGCCUCAAUAUUCAUCGGACCACAUACAUCGGUAUGUAUGAUUUCCAACAAAUCUGUUGCUCUCUCCAUAGUACCGGAGAACGGUGUUUUAGUCAUCUUGCCCAUGAGGCACGGUUCGCAAGUACCAAGUGAUUCAUAAUCAAGUAGUUCCAAAAGUCCAUCAGUAUGGAGUUUCUUCAUGCGCUUUACACCGAUAUGACCUAAACGGCAGUGCCACAAAUAAGUUGCACUAUCAUUAUCAACUCUGCAUCUUUUGGUUUCAACAUUAUGAAUAUGUGUAUCACUACUAUCGAGAUUCAUCAGAAAUAGACCACUCUUCAAGGGUUCAUGACCAUAAAAGAUAUUACUCAUAUAAAUAGAACAACCAUUAUUCUCUGAUUUAAAUGAAUAACCGUCUCGCAUCAAACAAGAUCCAGAUAUAAUGUUCAUGCUUAACGCUGGCACCAAAUGACAAUUAUUUAGGUCUAAUACUAAUCCCGAAGGUAGAUGUAGAGGUAGCGUGCCGACCGCGAUCACAUCGACUUUGGAACCGUUUCCCACGCGCAUCGUCACCUCGUCCUUUGCCAGUGUUCGCCUAAUCCGUAGUCCCUGUUUCGAGUUGCAAAUAUUAGCAAUAUAACCAGUAUCAAAUACCCAGGUGCUACUGCGAGCUCUAGUAAGGUACACAUCAAUAACAUGUAUAUCACUUAUACCUUUAUUCACCUUGCCAUCCUUCUUAUCCGCCAAAUACUUGGGGCAGUUCCGCUUCCAGUGACCAGUCUGCUUGUAGUAGAAGCACUCAGUUUCAGGCUUAGGUCCAGACUUGGGUUUCUUCUCCUGAGCAGCAACUUGCUUGCCGUUCUUCUUGAAGUUCCCCUUCUUCUUCCCUUUGCCCCUUUUCUUGAAACUAGUGGUCUUGUUGACCAUCAACACUUCAUGCUCCUUCUUGAUUUCUACCUCCGCAGCUUUCAGCAUUGCGAAGAGCUCGAGAAUAGUCUUAUUCAUCCAUUGCAUAUUAUAGUUCAUCACAAAGCUCUUGUAGCUUGGUGGCAGUGAUUGGAGAAUUCUGUCAAUGACGCAAUCAUCUGGAAAAUUAACUCCCAUCUAAAUCAAGUGAUUAUUAUACCCAGACAUUUUGAGUAUAUGCUCACUGACAGAACUAUUCUCCUCCAUCUUGCAGCUAUAGAACUUAUUGGAGACUUCAUAUCUCUCAAUCCGGGCAUUUGCUUGAAAUAUUAGCUUCAACUCCUGGAACAUCUCAUAUGCUCCAUGACGUUCAAAACGUCGUUGAAGUCCCAAUUCUAAGCCGUAAAGCAUGGCACACUGAACUAUCGAGUGGUCAUCAGCUUUGCUCCGCCAGACGUUCAUAACAUCUGGUGUUGCUCCAGCAGCAGGCCUGGCACCCAGCGGUGCUUCCAGGACGUAAUUCUUCUGUGCAGCAAUGAGGAUAAUCCUCAAGUUACGGACCCAGUCCGUGUAAUUGCUACCAUCAUCUUUCAACUUUGCUUUUGUUGGGGAACGUAGUAAUUUCAAAAAUUUCCUACGCACACGCAAGAUCAUGGUGAUGCAUAGCAACGAGGGGGAGAGUCUGAUCUACGUACCCUUGUAGAUCGCAACGGAAGCGUUGACACAACGUAGAGGAAGUAGUCGUACGUCUUCUUCCCGAUCCGACCGAUCCAAGCACUGUUACUCCGGCACCUCCGAGUUCUUAGCACACGUUCAGCUCGAUGACGAUCCUCGGGCUCCGAUCCAGCAAAGCGUCGAGGAAGAGUUCCGUCAGCACGACGGCGUGGUGACGAUCUUGACGUACUACCGACGUAGGGCUUCGCCUAAGCACUACAACGGUAUGAUCGAGGUGGAAUUUGGUGGCAGGGGGCACCGCACACGGCUAAGGAACGAUUUCAAGGAUCAACUUGUGUGUCUAUGGGGAGCCCCCCGCCCCUGUAUAUAAAGGAUGGAGGAGGAGGAGGCCGGCCAAGGCAAAGGUGCGGCCAGGAUAGGGAGUCCUACUAGGACUCCAAGUCCUAGUAGGAGUCCACCAAAAGGGGAGGAAGGGAGAAGGAAUAGGAGGAGAAGGAGAGGUGGCCGGCCCCCUUUUCCCUAGUCCAAUUCGGACCAAAGGGGAGGGGGGGCGCAGCAGCCUUUUCCUCUUCCCACUAAAGCCCAUCAAGGCCCAUUACUUCUCCCGUAACUACCCGGUACUCCGAAAAAUACCCGAAUCACUCGGAACCUUUCCGAUGUCCGAAUAUAGUCGUCCAAUAUAUCGAUCUUUACGUCUCGACCAUUUCGAGACUCCUCGUCAUGUCCCCGAUUUCAUCCGGGACUCCGAACUCCUUCGGUACAUCAAUACUCAUAAACUCAUAAUAUAACUGUCAUCGAAACCUAAAGCGUGCGGACCCUAUGGUUCGAGAACAAUGUAGACAUGACCGAGACACGUCUUCGGUCAAUAACCAAUAGCGGGACCUGGAUGCCCAUAUUGGCUCCUACAUAUUCUACGAAGAUCUUUAUCGGUCAGACCGCAUAACAACAUACGUUGUUCCCUUUGUCAUCGGUAUGUUACUUGCCCGAGAUUCGAUCGUCGGUAUCCAAUACCUAGUUCAAUCUCGUUACCGGCAAGUCUCUUUACUCAUUCUAUAAUACAUCAUCCCACAACUAACUCAUUAGUUGCAAUGCUUGCAAGGCUUAAGUGAUGUGCAUUACCGAGAGGGCCCAGAGAUACCUCUCCGAUAAUCGGAGUGACAAAUCCUAAUCUCGAAAUACGCCAACCCAACAUCUUCCUUUGGAGACACCUGUAAUGCUCCUUUAUAAUCACCCAGUUACGUUGUGACGUUUUGUAGCACCCAAAGUGAUCCUCCGGCAAACGGGAGUUGCAUAAUCUCAUAGUCAUAGGAACAUGUAUAAGUCAUGAAGAAAGCAAUAGCAACAUACUAAACGAUCGGGUGCUAAGCUAAUGGAAUGGGUCAUGUCAAUCAGAUCAUUCAACUAAUGAUGUGACCUCGUUAAUCAAAUAACAACUCUUUUGUCCAUGGUUAGGAAACAUAACCAUCUUUGAUUAACGAGCUAGUCAAGUAGAGGCAUACUAGUGACACUCUGUUUGUCUAUGUAUUCACACAUGUAUUAUGUUUCCGGUUAAUACAAUUCUAGCAUGAAUAAUAAACAUUUAUCAUGAUAUAAGGAAAUAAAUAAUAACUUCAUUAUUGCCUCUAGGGCAUAUUUCCUUCAGUCUCCCACUUGCACUAGAGUCAAUAAUCUAGUUCACAUCGCCAUGUGAUUUAACAGCAAUAGUUCACAUCACCAUGUGAUUAACACCCAUAGUUCACAUCGUCAUGUGACCAACACUCAAAGGGUUUACUAGAGUCAGUAAUCUAGUUCACAUAUCUAUGUGAUUAACACCCAAAGAGUACUAAGGUGUGAUCAUGUUUUGCUUGUGAGAUAAUUUUAGUCAACGGGUCUGUCACAUUCAGAUCUGUAAGUAUUUUGCAAGUUCUAUGUCUACAAUGCUCUACACGGAGCUACUCUAGCUAAUUGCUCCCACUUUCAAUAUGUAUCCAGAUUGAGACUUUAGAUUCAUCUGGAUCAGUGUCAAAAACUUGCAUCGACGUAACCCUUUACGACGAACCUUUUUGUCACGUCCAUAAUCGAGAAACAUAUCCUUAUUUCACUAAGGAUAAUUCUGACCGCUGUCCAGUGAUCUACUCCUAGAUCACUAUUAUACUCCCUUGCCAAAUCAAUGCAGGGUAUACAAUAGAUCUGGUAUACAGCAUGACAUACUUUAUAGAACCUAUGGCCAAGGCAUAGGGAAUGACUUUCAUUCUCUUUCUAUCUUCUGCCGUGGUCGGGCUUUGAGUCUUACUCAACUUCACACCUUGUAAUACAGGCAAGAACUCUUUCUUUGACUGCUCCAUUUUGAGCUACUUCAAAAUCUUGUCAAGGUAUGUACUUAUUGAAAAAACUUAUCAAGCGUCUUGAUCUAUCUCUAUAGAUCUUGAAGCUCAAUAUGUAAGCAGCUUCACCGAAGUCUUUCUUUGAAAAACUCCUUUCAAACACUCCUUUAUGCUUUACAGAAUAAUUCUACAUUAUUUCCGAUCAACAAUAUGUCAAUCACAUAUACUUAUCAGAAAUGCUGUAGUGUCCCACUCACUUUCUUGUAAAUACAGGCUUCACCGCAAGUCUGUAUAAAACUAUAUGCUUUGAUCAACUCAUCAAAGCGUAUAUUCCAACUCCGAGAUGCUUGCACCAGUCCACAGAUGGAUCGCUGGAGCUUGCACAUUUUGUUAGCACCUUUCGGAUUGACAAAACCUUCUGUUGCAUCAUAUACAACUCUUCUUUAAUAAAUCCAUUAAGGAAUGCAGUUUUGUUUAUCCAUUUGCCAGAUUUCAUAAAAUGCGGCAAUUACUAACAUGAUUCGGACAGACUCAAGCAUAGAUACGAGUGAGAAGCUCUCAUCGUAGUCAACACCUUGAACUUGUCGAAAACCUUUUUGCGACAAUUCUAGCUUUGUAGAUAGUAACACUACUAUCAGCGUCCGUCUUCCUCUUGAAGAUCCAUUUAUUCUCAAUUGCUUGCCGAUCAUUGGGCAAGUCAACCAAAGUCCAAACUUUGUUCUCAUACAUGGAUCAUAUCUCAGAUUUCAUGGCCUCAAACCAUUUCGCGGAAUCUGGGCUCAUCAUUGCUUCCUCAUAGUUCGUAGGUUCAUCAUGAUCUAGUAGCAUGACUUCCAGGAUUGGAUUACCGUACCACACUGGUGCGGAUCUCACUCUGGUUGAUCUACGUGGUUCAGUAGUAUCUUGUCCUGAAGUUUCAUGAUCAUCAUCAUUAGCUUCCUCACUAAUUGGUAUAGGUGUCGCAGAAACAGUUUUCUGUGAUGUACUAUUUUCCAAUAAGGGAGCAGGUACAGUUACCUCGUCAAGUUCUACUUUCCUCCCACUCACUUCUUUUGAGAGAAACUCCUUCUCUAGAAAGGAUCCAUUAUAAGCAACGAAUGUCUUGCCUUAGGAUCUGUGAUAGAAGGUGUACCCAACAGUCUCCUUUGGGUAUCCUAUGAAGACAUAUUUCUCCGAUUUGGGUUUGAGCUUAUCAGGAUGAAACUUUUUCUCAUAAGCAUCGCAACCCCAAACUUCAAGAAACGACAACUUUGGUUUCUUGCCUAACCAUAGUUCAUACGGUGUCGUCUCAACGGAUUUAGAUGGUGCCCUAUUUAACGUGAAUGCAGCUUUCUCUAAUGCAUGAUCCCAAAACGAUAUUGGUAAAUCGGUAAGAAACAUCAUAGAUUGUACUAUAUCCAAUAAAGUACGGUUAUGACGUUCGGACACACCAUUAUGCUGUGGUGUUCCAGGUGGCGUGAGUAGUGAAACUAUUUCACAUUGUUUUAACUGAAGACCAAACUCGUAACUCAAAUACUCUUUUCCACGAUCAGAUCGUAGAAACUUUAUUUUCUUGUUACGAUGAUUUUCCACUUCACUCUGAAAUUAUAUGAACUUUUCAAAUGUAUCAGACUUCUAUUUCAUUAAGUAGAUAUACCCAUAUCUGCUCAAAUCAUCUGUGAAGGUUUAGAAAAUAAUGAUACCCGCUGCAAGCCUUAAAUAUUCAUCGGACCACAUACAUUUGUAUGUAUGAUUUCCAACAAAUCUGUUGCUUGCUCCAUUGUUCCGGAGAACGGCGUUUUAGUCAUCUUGCCCAAAAGGCAUGGUUCGCAAGCAUCAAGUGAUUCCGAAAGCCCAUCAGCAUGGAGUUUCUUCAUGUGCUUUAUACCAAUAUGACCUAAACGGCAGUGCCACAAAUAAGUUGCACUAUCAUUAUUAACUUUGCAUCUUUUGGUUUCAAUAUUAUGAAUAUGUGUAUCACUACGAUCGAGAUCCAACGAACUUGUUUCAUUGGGUGUAUGACCAUCGAAGGUUUUAUUCAUGUAAACAGAACAACAAUUAUUCUCUGACUUUAAUGAAUAACCGUAUUGCAAUAAACAUGAUCAAAUCAUAUUCAUGCUCAACCAAAUAACACUUAUUUAAGUUCAACACUAAUCCCGAAAGUAUAGGGGAGUGUGUGAUGAUGAUCAUAUCAAUCUUGGAACUACUUCCAACACACAUCGUCACUUCACCCUUAACUAGUCUUUGUUUAUUCUGCAACUCCUGUUUCGAGUUACUACUCUUAGCAACUGAACCAAUAUCAAAUACUGAGGGGUUGCUAUAAACACUAGUAAAGCACACAUCAAUAACAUGUAUAUCAAAUAUACUUUUGUUCACUUUGCCAUCCUUCUUAUCCGCCAAAUACUUGGGGCAGUUCCGCUUCCAGUGACCAGUCCCUUUGCAGUAGAAGCACUUAGUCUCAGGCUUAGGACCAAACUUCGGCUUCUUCACUUGAGCAGCAACUUGCUUGCCGUUCUUCUUGAAGUUCCCCUUCUUCCCUUUGCCCUUUUCUUGAAACUAGUGAUCCUGUCAACCAUCAACACUUGAUGUUUUUCUUGAUUUCGACCUUCGUUGAUUUCAGCAUCACGAAGAGCUUGGGAGUUGUUUCCGUUAUCCCUUGCAUAUUAUAGUUCAUCACGAAGUUCUACUAACUUGGUGAUGGUGACUAGAGAAUUUUGUCAAUCACUAUCUUAUCUGGAAGAUUAACUCCCACUUGAUUCAAGCGAUUGUAGUACUCAGAUAAUCUGGGCACAUGCUCACUAGUUGAGCGAUUCUCCCCCAUCUUUCAGCUAUAGAACUUGUUGGAGACUUCAUAUCUCUCAACUCGGGUAUUUACUUGAAAUAUUAACUUCAGCUUCUGGAACAUCUCAUAUGGUCCAUGACGCUCAGAACGUCUUUGAAGUCCCGAUUCUAAGCCAUUAAGCAUGGUGCACUAAACUAUCAAGUAGUCAUCAUAUUGGGCUAGCCAAACGUUCAUAACGUCGGCAUCUGCUCCUGCAAUAGGUCUGUCACCUAGCGGUGCAUCAAGGACAUAAUUCCUCUAUGCAGCAAUGAGGAUAAAACUCAGAUCACGGAUCCAAUCCGCAUCAUUGCUACUAACAUCUUUCAACACAAUUUUCUCUAGGGACAUGUCAAAAUAAACACAGGGAAGCAACAACGCGAGCUAUUGAUCUACAACAUAAUUUGCAAAAUACUACCAGGACUAAGUUCAUGAUAAAUUUAAGUUCAAUUAAUCAUAUUACUUAAGAACUCCCACUUAGAUAGAUAUCCCUCUAAUCCUCUAAGUGAUCACGUGAUCCAAAUCAACUAAACCAUAACCGAUCAUCACGUGAGAUGGAGUAGUUUUCAAUGGUGAACAUCGUCAUGUUGAUCAUAUCUACUAUAUGAUUCACGCUCGACCUUUCGGUCUCUGUGUUCCGAGGCCAUAUCUGCAUAUGCUAGGCUCGUCAAGUUUAACCUGAGUAUUCUGCGUGUGCAAAACUGGCUUGCACCCGUUGUAGAUGGACGUAGAGCUUAUCACACCCGAUCAUCACGUGGUGUCUGGGCACGACGAACUUUGGCAACGGUGCAUACUCAGGGAGAACACUUCUUGAUAAUUCAGUGAGAGAUCAUCUUAUAAUGCUACCGUCAAUCAAAGCAAGAUAAGAUGCAUAAAAAGAUAAACAUCAUAUGUAAUCAAAAUAUGUGACAUGAUAUGGCCAUCAUCAUCUUGCUUCUUUGAUCUCCAUCUCCAAAGUACUGUCAUGAUCUAUAUCGUCACCGGCAUGACACCAUGAUCUCCAUCAUCUUGAUCUAUAUCAAUGUGUCGUCGUGUGGUCGUCUCACCAACAAUUGCUCUUGCAACUAUUGCUAUCGCAUAGCGAUAAAGUAAAGCAAUUACUGGACGCUUGCAUCUCAUGAAAUAGAGAGACAACCAUAAGGAUUUUGUCAGUUGCUGAUAACUUCAACAAAACAUGAUCAUCUUAUACAACAACUUAUAACUCAUCACGUUUUGACCAUAUCACAUCACAACAUGCCCUGCAAAAACAAGUUAGACGUCCUCUACUUUGUUGUUGCAAAUUUUACGUGGCUGCUACGGGCUUAGCAAGAACCAAUCUUACCUACGCAUCAAAACCACAACGAUAGUUUGUCAAAUAGACUCCGUUUUAACCUUCGCAAGGACCGGGCGUAGCCACACUCGGUUCAACUAAAGUUGGAGAAACAGUCACCCGCAAGUCACCUAUGUGCAAAGCACGUCGGGGAAACCGGUCUCGCGUAAGCGUACGCGUAAUGUCGGUCCGGGCCGCUUCAUCCAACAAUACCGCGGAACCAAAGUAUGACAUGCUGGUAGGCAGUAUGACUUAUAUCGCCCACAACUCACUUGUGUUCUACUCGUGCAUAUAACAUCAAACCAUAAAACCUAGGCUCGGAUGCCACUGUUGGGGAACGUAGUAAUUUCAAAAAUUUCCUACGCACACGCAAGAUCAUGGUGAUGCAUAGCAACGAGGGGGAGAGUCUGAUCUACGUACCCUUGUAGAUCGCAACGGAAGCGUUGACACAACGUAGAGGAAGUAGUCGUACGUCUUCUUCCUGAUCCGACCGAUCCAAGCACCGUUACUCCGGCACCUCCGAGUUCUUAGCACACGUUCAGCUCGAUGACGAUCCUCGGGCUCCGAUCCAGCAAAGCGUCGAGGAAGAGUUCCGUCAGCAUGACGGCGUGGUGACGAUCUUGAUGUACUACCGAUGUAGGGCUUCGCCUAAGCACUACAACGGUAUGAUCGAGGUGGAAUUUGGUGGCAGGGGGCACCGCACACGGCUAAGGAACGAUCUCAAGGAUCAACUUGUGUGUCUAUGGGGUGCCCCCUGCCCCUGUAUAUAAAGGAUGGAGGAGGAGGAGGCCGGCCAAGGCAAAGGUGCGGCCAGGAUAGGGAGUCCUACUAGGACUCCAAGUCCUAGUAGGAGUCCACCAAAAGGGGAGGAAGGGAGAAGGAAUAGGAGGAGAAGGAGAGGUGGCCGGCCCCCUUUUCCCUAGUCCAAUUCGGACCAAAGGGGAGGGGGGCGCAGCAGCCUUUUCCUCUUCCCACUAAAGCCCAUCAAGGCCCAUUACUUCUCCCGUAACUACCCGGUACUCCGAAAAAUACCCGAAUCACUCCGAACCUUUCCGAUGUCCAAAUAUAGUCGUUCAAUAUAUCGAUCUUUACGUCUCGACCAUUUCAAGACUCCUCGUCAUGUCCCCGAUCUCAUCCGGGACUCCGAACUCCUUCGGUACAUCAAUACUCAUAAACUCAUAAUUUAACUGUCAUGGAAACCUUAAGCGUGCGGACCCUACGGUUCGAGAACAAUGUAGACAUGACCGAGACACGUCUCCGGUCAAUAACCAAUAGCGGGACCUGGAUGCCCAUAUUGGCUCCUACAUAUUCUACGAAGAUCUUUAUCGGUCAGACCGCAUAACAACAUACGUUGUUCCCUUUGUCAUCGGUAUGUUACUUGCCCGAGAUUCGAUCGUUGGUAUCCAAUACCUAGUUCAAUCUCGUUACCGGCAAGUCUCUUUACUCGUUCUAUAAUACAUCAUCCCACAACUAACUCAUUAGUUGCAAUGCUUGCAAGGCUUAAGUGAUGUGCAUUACCGAGAGGGCCCAGAGAUACCUCUCCGACAAUCGGAGUGACAAAUCCUAAUCUCGAAAUACGCCAACCCAACAUCUUCCUUUGGAGACACCUGUAAUGCUCCUUUAUAAUCACCCAGUUACGUUGUGACGUUUGGUAGCACCCAAAGUGUUCCUCCGGCAAACGGGAGUUGCAUAAUCUCAUAGUCAUAGGAACAUGUAUAAGUCAUGAAGAAAGCAAUAGCAACAUACUAAACGAUCGGGUGCUAAGCUAAUGGAAUGGGUCAUGUCAAUCAGAUCAUUCAACUAAUGAUGUGACCUCGUUAAUCAAAUAACAACUCUUUUGUCCAUGGUUAGGAAACAUAACCAUCUUUGAUUAAUGAGCUAGUCAAGUAGAGGCAUACUAGUGACACUUUGUUUGUCUAUGUAUUCACACAUGUAUUAUGUUUCCCGUUAAUACAAUUCUAGCAUGAAUAAUAAACAUUUAUCUUGUGCUUGUGAUCUCCAUCUCCGAAGCACCUUCAUGAUCACCAUCGUCACCGGCGCGACACCUUGAUCUCCAUCGUAGCAUCGUUGUCGUCUCGCCAAUCUUAUGCUUCCACGACUAUCGCUACCGCUUAGUGAUAAAGUAAAGCAUUACAACGCGAUUGCAUUGCAUACAAUAAAGCGACAACCAUAUGGCUCCUGCCAGUUGCCGAUAACUUGGUUACAAAACAUGAUCAUCUCAUACAAUAAAAUUUAGCAUCAUGUCUUGACCAUAUCACAUCACAACAUGCCCUGCAAAAACAAGUUAGACGUCCUCUACUUUGUUGUUGCAUGUUUUACGUGGCUGCUACAGGCUUAAGCAAGAACCAAUCUUACCUAUGCAUCAAAACCACAACGAUAGUUUGUCAAGUUGAUGCCGUUUUAACCUUCGCAAGGACCGGGCGUAGCCACACUCGGUUCAACUAAAGUUGGAGAAACAGUCACCCGCAAGCCACCUUUGUGCAAAGCACGUCGGGAGAACCGGUCUCGCGUAAGCGUACGCGUAAUGUCGGUCUGGGCCGCUUCAUCCAACAAUACCGCCGAACCAAAGUAUGACAUGCUGGUAGGCAGUAUGACUUAUAUCGCCCACAACUCACUUGUGUUCUACUCAUGCAUAUAACAUCAAACCAUAAAACCUAGGCUCUGAUACCACUGUUGGGGAACGUAGCAAUUUCAAAAAAUUUCUACGCACACGCAAGAUCAUGGUGAUGCAUAGCAACAAGAGGGGAGAGUGUUGUCUAGAAGCGUUGACACAACGUAGAGGAAGUAGUCGUACGUCUUCCCGAUCCGACCGAUCCAAGCACCGUUACUCCGGCACCUCCGAGUUCUUAGCACACGUACAACUCGAUGACGCUCCCCGGGCUCCGAUCUAGCAAAGCUUCGGGGAUGAGUUCCGUCAGCACAACGGCGUGGUGACGAUGAUGAUGUUCUACCGACGCAGGGCUUCGCCUAAGCACUACAACGAUAUGACCGAGGUGGAAUAUGGUGGAAGGGGGCACCGCACACGGCUAAGGAACGAUCACGUUGAUCAAUUGUGUGUUCUAGGGUGCCCCCUUGCCUCCGUAUAUAAAGGAUCCAAGGGAGAGGGGUUCGGCCGGCCCUAUGGAGGCGCAGGAGGAGUCCUACUCCUAUCGGGAGUAGGACUCCCCCCCUUUUCCUUGUCCAAGUAGGAUUGGUGGAGAAGAAUGGGAAAGAGGGGGGCGCCGCCCCUCCCUCCUUGUCCAAUUCGGACUAGGGGGAGAGGGGGCGUGCGGCCUGCCCUGGCAGCCCCUUCCUCUUCUCCACUUUAGGCCCAUGAGGCCCAUUAACCCCCCGGGGGGUUCCGGUAACCCCCCGGUGCUCCGAUUUUAUCCGAAACUUCAUCGGAACCCUUCCGGUGUCCGAAUAUAGUCAUCCAAUAUAUCAAUCUUUAUGUCUUGACAAUUUUGAGACUCCUCGUCAUGUCCGUGAUCACAUCCGGGACUCCGAACUAACUUCGGUACAUCAAAAUGUAUAAACUUAUAAUAACUGCCAUCGUAACGUUAAGCGUGCGGACCCUACGGUUCGAGAACAAUGUAGACAUGGCCGAGACACGUCUCCGGUCAAUAACCAAUAGCGGGACCUGGAUGCCCAUAUUGGCUCCUACAUAUUCUACGAAGAUCUUUAUCGGUCAGACCGCAUAACAACAUACGUUGUUCCCUUUGUCAUCGGUAUGUUACUUGCCCGAGAUUCGAUCGUCCGUAUCCAAUACCUAGUUCAAUCUCGUUACCAGCAAGUCUCUUUACUCGUUCCGUAAUACAUCAUCUCGCAACUAACUCAUUAGUUGUAAUGCUUGCAAGGCUUAUGUGAUGUGCAUUACCGAGAGGGCCCAGAGAUACCUCUCCGACAAUCGGAGUGACAAAUCCUAAUCUCGAAAUACGCCAACCCAACAUCUACCUUUGGAUACAUCUUUAGAGCACCUUUAUAAUCACCCAGUUAUGUUGUGACGUUUGGUAGCACACAAAGUGUUCCUCCGGCAAACGGGAGUUGCAUAAUCUCAUAGUCAUAGGAACAUGUAUAAGUCAUGAAGAAAGCAAUAGCAACAUACUAAACGAUCGGGUGCUAAGCUAAUGGAAUGGGUCAUGUCAAUCAGAUCAUUCAACUAAUGAUGUGAUCUCGUUAAUCAAAUAACAACUCUUUGUUCAUGGUUAGGAAACAUAACCAUCUUUGAUUAACGAGCUAGUCAAGUAGAGGCAUACUAGUGACACUUUGUUUGUCUAUGCAUUCACACAUGUAUUAUGUUUCCGGUUAAUACUAUUAUAGCAUGAAUAAUAAACAUUUAUCAUGACAUAAGGAAAUAAAUAAUAACUUUGUUAUUGCCUCUAGGGCAUAUUUCCUUCACUUAGGGCCUUGGAUGAGAACUGGCAUCAUAAUGAACUUCCGCUUCAUGCACAUCCAAGGAGGAAGGUUAUACAUACAUAGAGUCACGGGCCAGGUGCUGUGAUUGCUGCUCUGCUCCCCUAUAGGAUUAAUGCCAUCCAUGCUUAAAGCAAACCAUACAUUCCAUGGGUCGUUUGCAAACUCAUCCCAGUACUUUCUCUCGAUUUUUCUCCACUGCGACCCGUCAGCGGGUGCUCUCAAUUUUCCGUCUUUCUUCCGGUCCUCACUGUGCCAUCGCAUCAACUUGGCAUGCUCUUCGUUUUUGAAUAGACGUUUCAACCGUGGUAUUAUAGGAGCAUACCACAUCACCUUCGCAGGAACCCUCUUCUUGGGGGGCUCACCGUCAACGUCACCAGGGUCAUCUCGUCUGAUCUUAUACCGCAAUGCACCGCAUACCGGGCAUGCAUUCAGAUCCUUGUAUGCACCGCGGUAGAGGAUGCAGUCAUUAGGGCAUGCAUGUAUCUUCUCCACCUCCAAUCCUAGAGGGCAUACGACUUUCUUUGCUGCGUAUGUACUGUCGGGCAAUUCGUUAUCCUUUGGAAGAUUCUUCUUCAAUAUUUUCAGUAGCUUCUCAAAUCCUUUGUCAGCCACAGCAUUCUCUGCCUUCCACUGCAGCAAUUCCAGUACGGUACCGAGCUUUGUGUUGCCAUCUUCGCAAUUGGGCUACAACCCUUUUUUGUGAUCCUCUAACAUGCGAUCGAACUUCAGCUUCUCCUUUUGACUUUCGCAUUGCGUCCUUGCAUCGACAAUGACCCGGCGGAGAUCAUCAUCAUCGGGCAGAUCGUCUGGUUCCUCUUGAUCUUCAGCAGCUUCACCCGUUGCAGCAUCAUUGGGCACAUCGUCUGUUUCCUCUUGAUCUUCACCAGCUCCCUCCAUUGCAGCAUAACCGUAUUCAGGGGGCACAUAGUUGUCAUCGUACUCUUCUUCUUUGCCAUCUUCCAUCAUAACACCUAUUUCUCCGUGCCUCGUCCAAACAUUAUAGUGUGGCAUGAAACCCUUGUAAAGAAGGAGGGGGUGAAGGAUUUUCCGGUUAGAGUAAUACCUCGUAUUCCCACAUUCAGUGCAUGGACAACACAUAAAACCAUUCUGCUUCUUUGCCUCAGCCGCACCGAGAAACUCAUGCACGCCCUUAAUGUACCCGGAGGUGUGUCUGUCACCGUACAUCCAUUGCCAGUUCAUCUACGUGCAUUAUAUAUAAUUAAGUGUCCAAAUUAAUAGAAGUUCAUCAUCACAUUAAAACCAAAGUACAUACAUAGUUCUCAUCUAACAACAUAUAGCUCUCCAGAGCAUCUAAUUAAUUAAACCAUACAUUGAAACUAUGUAAAACAUUUCAAUGCGAAAACAAAUGCGAUCAUAAUUGCAACCAAGGUAACAAUUGAUCCAACGGCAUAAUGAUACCAAGCCUCGGUAUGAACGACAUAUUUUCUAAUCUUUCUAAUCUUCAAGCGCAUUGCAUCCAUCUUGAUCCUGUGAUCAUAGACGACAUCCGCAACAUGCAACUCCAAUAUCAUCUUCUCCUCCUCAAUUUUUUUAUUUUUUCCUCCAACAAAUAGUUUUCUUCUUCAACUAAAUUUAGCCUCUCGGCAAUAGGGUCGGUUGGCAUUUCCGAUUCACAUACAUCCUACAUAAAUAAAAUCUAUGUCACGUUGAUCGGCAUAAUUUUCAUAAACAAUAAAUGAACCAAUAGUUAUAAAGAUAAUAUAUAUACCACAUUCGAAUCAUAGACAGGACGAGGGCGACGGGGGCGGAUACCAAAACCAUCGCACUAUAUAAGAUGCAAUAAUAAAAGUAAGAAAAUAAUACAAGUAUCUAUGUAAACAUACAAGUAAGAAUAUUUUUCCUUUCAGAAAGAAGAUAAGAACAAGAGGCUCACCAUGGUGGUGCCGGCAAGGCCCACCUUGGUCCAUGCGGGGAUGCACAAAAUAAGCUAUGUGCGGCCCAUGCGGGGAAUUUUGGUUACGCAUGGCCCAUACAUAUGGUGAUCCAGCCGUACGUGACCAAAUAGGAUGGACGGACAAACGAAAACGGACAAAAAUUAGGGACCAACCAAUUAGUACCACCUCGCGUAUAUGUUUUAUAUUUAAACUGAAAGCGUAAAUUUUCAUGAAAAGAAAUGUACUGUGACGGUGAACCCGACAAAGUCAAUCCGUGCUUUAUUAUUAGGGAAAGAUAUACUAAUUGGAGGCACCUUUGGAGCGUCUACGUUAAUCCACGUCAUUAAGAUUAAUAUAGCCGUUUGAUAUUAAAUUUAAUGGUUAAGAUAUGCUAGAAGACUAUGCCUUAUUAUAGAAGAAAACAACAUGUACGUAGGGAUGAAAUCCACGCAUACAAAAAAAAACUCAUGUAAAGAAAAAUCAAUUCUCACCACAUAGAUGAAACUCAUUAAACUUGCACAUGCAAAAAAAGUCCUAAGCUCCCACGUCCAUGAAAGAUUAGACAUGCACAUAAAAAAAGAGUCCUAAAUGCCCACGCCCAGGUUCCAAGAAAAAGUACGUGCCUACUCCUUGCAAAAAGAGGACGCGUGGCAAAACUAAAAAAUAUGAAUAUAAUCAUCUCAAUCUCUUUCUAAUAAUAAAAUAUGAAUUGAUUUUGUCAGGUUCGUCGUCACAAUACACUUUUUCCUGUAAAUUUACGCUUUCACUUUGAAUUUAAAACAUAUAGGUGAGGUGGUACUAAAAAACUGUUCAUUGGUCGCGUACGUCAAUUAGUAUAAGUCGCUUUUUUUAGUCCCUCCGGCUCGCUAGACUGGGCCGUGUUGAUCAUUCCCGUGAUGACUGAACUGGGCCUGGUCAAAAAGAAAAAAAACGAUGCAAAAAAUAAUUCCCCAUGAGCUUCGAACCAAGACGAAGGCCCUCAGUCACAAAGGAGAACGCCAACUAGAUUGCUCUAUUUUGUUCUGCCAAAUUGUGUCCCUGUAGAUAUAAUAGUCCCACAUCGCUUCUUUGCACUGUAUCUUAUCGAUUUUUAUACAUCGGCGGACUUGUCCUAGCAGAAGUUAAUUGGAAGAGGAAGCAAGGAAUAAAGAACGAACGCAGGAGGAAUUUGGCCAGAAGAAACAAGGUCGGGGAGCGUGAGGUUUAUGGUGAAUAUUCAGAGAACGGCAGCUGCAUUGUUCGAAUUUAGUCUAUCUUUGGACAUGUCUUUUCCGGGGAUUCGACACCAUGUUUUGUGCGCGAAUGGUUUUAUUAGGGUUUUUGACUGUUCCAAGUUAGAAGAGGCCAGAGUUUUCUCUGGUUCUUCAGUGGCCUGAAGCAACCAUGCUUACGCUUUUUUUUUUCAACCAUUCAUUGCCCAUUUUCAUUAAUUUCUUAAAGAAAAUACAUCAACCGUCCUUGCAGAAAGAACGAGGCAGCUUCACAGCUGGAAAUCAAGAGUGCGGUGUCCAGUUUUACGGGGAAAAGAAUUCUAUGAGACCAGGUCUCACGCGAGACCCAUCCUAAUGAAUGCCACGUGCUAUCCAUCAGAACGGGUCUCACCUGCUAACCGUGAGACUUGGUCUCAUAUAUUUUUUUUCCGUUUUACGGGGAAGCAUCAUCAGAAAUCUAGCAAAUCAUUCGCAUUAUUCUCUCACAUACAGUACAGAUCCUUCGGAUCGCCACAUCACAGCUGGACUUCAUUGCUUUGGGUGUCUAAUUAAGGGCUUGUUCGGUUAAUCCUCUCGCGAAGAGGAUUGGAGGGGAUUGGCAAGGAUUGGUUCGUAUUUUGACUUCUAAGAGGUUUAAGUCCUCCUCAAACCCCUUCAAUCCAUUCGGAUUCACACGCAACCAAACAAGGCCUAAACGGGAUCCGCAUCUGAACUAUUAAGCAGCAAAUGAUAGUGUGCGUGAAACAGGUAGGCAAUGUCAAUGAGGACAAACUGUGAUGAUAUCGUUUGAAAACUCAGCUGUCGUCCGUAGUGUUUGGCAUGUGACAGAUAGAUCCUGUUGAUUGUCUAACGAAAGCCAACGGUGAUGUCAAACUAGACUAUUUUAACAUAGUCGGUAAGACAAAAAUGGGAAACAUAUGUAUAUAUGACUACCGAGAACACGACAUCCAUUGUAUCUCGAUUAAGCAUCUUCAAAUAUUAUUCCUGUCGUGAUAUUGACAACAUUAUUAGUUUGUACUUGAAUGAAUAGUCAAGGAACUUUUGAGUGUUCCAAGUUAAACAUCCAAAUUUGUGUCGCAUUUCAGUAUGGGAGGCGCGUAUGACUCUCAAGUUUUUCCGAAUUUGAGUAAUACGGGUCAACUAUUUGCAAAAAUAAAAUAAAAACAUGUUAUCUAGCAUAUGUUUUUACCGUGUUAACACAUUCACAAUUAUUCCAUUUUGAAAAAAGGUACCUAGGUGGUAAAUGAACUACAAACCUUGCUCGACAUAUAUCGAGAAAUAUGUAUUGACAUACACAACAGAGAAAAUAAAUCAAAAUACAUUGCGCAGAACAUUGACAAUAAAUUAGUUGGUGAAAUUAGACAAUUUAGUUGGUGAACUUAGAAAAUUGUUACAUAAGGCUCCAACUUAAUUUCUCAGCAGUUGGAUCAGUUUUUUUUUUUGAGGACCAUGGAAAUACUGAAACCAUGGUUGAUACAAACUCCCCUCUCACACCUAAACUUUGAGCUAGAUAUUUCCUUUUAGUGAGUUUAGCUACUAAUUUUAAAGGGGUUCGCUAAAUCUCAGUCAAUUGAGAUUUAAUGUAGUCUCAAUCACCUUUCCAAGCCGUUGAAUACAUGCACACUAAGAUUAUGUGCUAGGAAACUUUUCUUUGUUAUUGUGAGGUGGAACGGAAAGAGAUGUGUGUGUGCCUUUCUGGACUAUUCGAAGUGUGCGUGUUUUUCCGAGGAAAGAGCCUACAAUCUACACGAGAAGCUUGUGUUUGGGCCAAGUCCAAACAUAAUAUAAUUUGUCAAACCAAACAACCAACAUUUUCUAAAACCGAAAUCAACAUAGCAAAAACAUGUUUGCUUUCGAAUAUUAAUAAAUAACUGUAUAUAAAUAAUCCCACUUCAAUGCACCACUCCUCUCACACCCGGUGAUAGUGUGAUGUUCGUUGAGGCAACAUCGAAGGACAUGAAUGUAGUUUCAUUAAUCUUUUUCCGAAUUGUGUACACCAAAAAUUGUAUCAUCAUUAACGACGGUGGCAAAAAUGAAAAGUGGCAACAUGAACGAGUCACUGAAAACAUGCGAAGACUUUCUCCUUCCGGUGCAAUGCACGACACAUUAAAUGAUGCAUACAAAGGUUAAAGGGAACCUUCUUUUGAGAAACAAAGACAAACACAGACUCACAAACACGUACAUACAUGAACACCUAGAGAGACUGAGCUGACAAGUCUUGAGAUUGAUGAACACACCACAAGUGUCUCGCUUCGACGCGAACGUCACCAUGCACUGAAAAAAUAUUUCACCUUUGUGAAACAUGAAAUUAAGCGUCAAAGUUAGGUUUUAAUUCUUGCUCUAUUGGGUAUCACCGCCCUGCAAACCAUCCAAUCAGAGAUUGGUUCUCAGGGUUAAAGCGAAACUAACCAAUACAUUUAUUUGAUAUGAAAAAAUGAACCCUUCCAAACCAAGCAAACAACUAUCUCUAAGAAAUCCAACAUAGCAACAAUGCUUUGUAUUCAAAUGUUUUGGAAAUUCUAAAAAAAAACUUUUGGAUUAGUUUUUAAACUCUCGGUUAGUAUAGAACAUUCCAAUGUUUGUAUGUUGCACUAAAAAUAAAUGCACCACUCUUUCACCCGGUGGUAGUGCUAAGCUAAAGGAGUGCCAUCAAAGGACACCACUAUGACUAUCUUAACUCUACUCCAUGAUGCGGACACCAAUAAUCAUUUUUAUUUACCAACACGAAGGCGUUUUUUUAAGAUAGUGAGUGUUUCUAAAUGUUCUUGGUUUCAAAAAAUAUAUUCAUGUUUUAAAUAUGUUUAAACUUUUGAAGAAAUGCUGAAAAUUCCUAAAAAAUGGUUCCAAUUAAAAACCAGCUAUAAUUGUUCAAAAAAUCAUUAAAAAAAAUCAUGAAAUCGCUUGUUUAUAUAAUGUUCGACUUCAAAAAAUAUUCCAAUUCUAGUAAGAAAUUAAAAAAUAGUCGAUUUCUUAAAAAAUAAAGAAAUAUUUGUGUUGUCUUUCAAAAAGCAAAAUAUAUACCGAUUCACAUACUAUUCCAUGCACAACUAUUCUUCCAACAGAUGUGGGAAGUUAGGUUGGUUCUUCAUGUACACACUUCAAGCUCCGAACAAAAAUUAGAGUUUAACAUUAUUACUCUGGUUUAUCAGCCUUUGAUACAAGAAAUGGCACAUGAAGCGCACUUUUAUUUGCCCGUUGCAACGCACGGGCAUUUGUACUAGUAAAUAUCAAUUGAAGGAAUAUCAUUCUGCAAAGGCAGAUUCUUGAAUAGGAUUGUUUCACAACUGCAUCCAUCAAUUUUAAAGUUUACUAUCUAAUAUGAUGCUAGAUAGAUAAAGCCUCAAUUAAGUAUAACAUUGUGUUUGUUGGUUAAGUUAGGAGCACUUACUAAUGUACUAAAAGAGAAAUAUAUAUUAUAUAUGGUUUGAGUACCAUUGUAGUAGUGGUGCAUAUACAUACGCGCACCACCUACUAUAUAUCGAAAUAAUUCAUACUCGCUUUCUCCCUUAUAUAUAUAGUAGGUGGUGUCAAAUUCUUGCUAAUUUGACAUGAAGGCUUCAUUCAGACCAGUGAUGAUACUUUGCGCAACAUAAAUGGGAAAGUAGAGGCACUCUUCCAUAUAAUGAAGUUUAUAAUAUAUGUGUUUAUAUUGUACUAUAAUUGUUUGAAUAACUUACCAUAUGUUCAGAUGUAUGAUAUCUGUAAUUUAAGCGCUUGAAUUUUACAUAUAAAUAUAAUUUUAUUAAUAAAUAUGUACCCAUAUAAUAGCUAGGCCGUGUAGUUGCACGGGUAGAUGACUAGUGAUUACAAUCUUGUUUGUGAGCAAGUCAAGAUUAUCUAGUUUACACGUAACAACUUGUAGAACAUUACAAAAAUUAUGCUUGCUAAUAACUUCUAGAACACUACAACACUUGACAUGUAAAAGGAAUUUGAUGAGUCAUGGCCUACUAAAGCAAGUUACAUUACUACUCUUAUCUAUCUUAACAGACCACACAAGAUUACAAACUAAGUACCGUGACAGCCAUGCUUAUCUAAUUUAUGCGUAACAAUUUGCGGAAAAUUACAAAUUUAGUUUUAGAAAAAUAGGCAAUCUAGAUUAGUGUUUGAGCUGUAAUGUGAAUAAGAUGAGUCGUGCGUCUUGUCACACCUUUUUGGUGGUGGAAUGAUAGUGCAACAACAAGGAACUUUAAUGACCAGUCCAAGAAUACACUUGUAAGUAGUGCCACCAAACAGAACAUACCAAAUUAUGAUUUUGAGAAGAAUCCAAGCACUUUCCACACAAGCAAAUGCCAAUUGUGAAAGAGAUCAUUCCAUGGCAGCUAUAAAUAGCCCCAUAGCAUGACGCUCAUCCUUCCUCAUCCAUCAUUCUCAUAAGUAGAGUGCAUCAUUUAAGCCAAGCAAGCUGUGGUCAAUACAAAUCCACCAUGAAGACCUUUCUCAUCCUUUCCCUCCUUGCUAUCGUGGCAACCACCGCCACAACUGCAUUUAGAAUUCUAGUGCCACAAUUGCAGCCACAAAAUCCAUCUUAGCAACAACCACAAGAGCAAGUUCCAUUGGUACAACAACAGCAAUUUCUAGGGCAGCAACAACCAUUUCCACCACAACAACCAUAUCCACAGCCGCAACCAUUUCCAUCACAACAACCAUAUCUGCAGCUGCAACCAUUUCCGCAGCCGCAACCACCAUAUUCGCAGCCGCAACCAUUUCGACCACAAUAACCAUAUCUCCACAACCGCAACCACAGUAUUCGCAACCACAAUAACCAAUUUCGCAGCAGCAACAACAACAACAACAACAACAACAACAACAAAUCCUUCAACAAAUUUUGCAACAACAACUGAUUCCAUGCAUGGAUGUUGUAUUGCAGCAACACAACAUAGCGCAUGGAAGAUCACAAGUUUUGCAACAAAGUAGUUACCAGCUGUUGCAAGAAUUGUGUUUUCAGCACCUAUGACAGAUCCCUGAGCAGUCGCAGUGCCAAGCCAUCCACAAUGUUGUCCAUGCUAUUAUUCUGCAUCAACAACAAAAACAACAACAACAACAACAACAAAAACAACAACCAUCGAGCCAGGUCUCCUUCCAACAGCCCCAGCAACAAUAUCCAUCAGGCCAGGGCUCCUUCCGGCCAUCUCUGCAAAAUCCACAGGCCCAGGGCUCGGUCCAGCCUCAACAGCUGCCCAGUUCGAGGAAAUAAGGAACCUAGCGCUACAGACGCUACCUGCAAUGUGCAAUCUCUACAUCCCUCCAUAUUGCACCAUCGCGCCAUUUGGCAUCUUCGGUACUAACUGAGAAGAAAAUAACUCUAGUACUAGAUAUAUGAAACACCGUUUUCUUAGUCCAUGGUUUGGUCAUUGUAGCGGUGAAAAAAUAAAGUGACAUGCACUACCAUGUAAGAACUCGAACUAUACUAGUUCAAACUUGGGAAUAAAAGACAAACACAGGUCUUGUCUACAUAUUUAUGUUGCAUUUAUCUAAAGAUAACAAAAUGAGUCUAAAAUUUGAAUUAAAUUGAAGUAUUUUCUUGGACUUUCAAAUUGAGUAUUAUUAACGUAGUAAGGACUAUCCUCAUCCUUGGCCUGCCCCUAAUCAAUUAUUUCCAGAGAAGCAUUCAAUUCAUCAAUCAAUUACAUUGAUUUUUGUGGCUGGUACUUCUCCUCAACAUCAGUAUAUUCACCGUGGCUACUCCAAAUCGGCAAGAAUGAGGUACCGGUGCUCUGGAGCAGUGCCAACUAAUUGCUUCUCAUGUGAAGGGGUGCGGGCGCGGGAGAGGUAUUUCUGGUGGGCCAAGGGAGUAAGAAGCCACCGUGGGAGUGGUACAGACGCCCGUAAAGCCCCAUAGUUUCUUUUUGGUUUACAGGAAAAUGCACAUCCAUACCGGCCUGGGGAGUAUAGGACCGUAUUGGAUGGAAAACCAUGUCCGGAUGGUUGCGAGCGGUUUGAGGGUUAGCUUUUGUAACGCCCGGUUAGUUAUGCUAUAGCAAUUCCCUGCUAAUGAUGUCACGUCACCAAGAUUACUGUUGUUAUCCUCACAAUGAUUCAAUGCCAUUCUAAUUCAAAUUUAAAAUAAAGGCAAGCAUCAAAAGUUUUCAAACAUUAAAACUAAAAUCUUUGAGAGGUAACAAAUAAUGCAUAAGUAAUUAUGGUGGAGAAACCACACUUUAAUAAAAUGUUUAAAUACUCUAAAAUGAAAAAAACAGUGGCUUAAACUAUUAUUUAAAUGCUUUUAAAAUAGUAAAAAUGUUCUAACUAAAUUAAUUGGGUACCAACCUUUUGGUGGCAGUGGUAUAUUUAGUAGAACUAAUUUAGAUGCUAGUUAUAUGAUUUAGAAAAUUAGGGUCAAUUGAAAAAUAGGAUAAAACAGAGAAGGAAAGACAAAACAAAUAAAAGCAAAAGGGGGCAACCCCUCACUGGCCUUGGCCUAGCUGGCCACUGGGCUAGCUAGGUCGGCCCCGCCGCCUCCCUUAACCCCCUGUCGGUGUCGAAACCGGUGGAUGGUACCAUGAGUAGAUCUACCACGAGAUCGGAGAGGCUAAACCCUAGAGGCUAGCCUAUGAUAUGAUUGUAUGUGUCCUACGGACUAAAACCCUCCGGUUUAUAUAGACACCGGAGAGGGUUAGGGUUACACAAGGUCGGUUACAAAGGAGGAGAUAUCCAUAUCCGUAUUGCCUAGCUUGCCUGCCACGCCAAGUAGAGUCCCAUCCGGACACGGGACGAAGUCUUCAAUCUUGUAUCUUCAUAGUGCAACAGUCCGAAAAAGGAUAUAGUCCGGCUGUCCGGAGACCCCCUAAUCCAGGACUCCCUCAGUAGCCCCUGAACCAGGCUUCAAUGACGAUGAGUCUGGCGCGCAGUAUUGUCUUCGACAUUGCAAGGCGGGUUCCUCCUCCGAAUGCAUCACAGAAGAAUUUGAAUACGAGGAUAGUGUCCGACCCUGCAACAUAAGUUCCACAUAAUUCCAUACAGAGAAUAAUAUUUUCGCAAAUCUAAUUUGCUUACUUGUUUUGACAGUACGACAUUAUGUCAUGGCCCGGUGAUUAUUCGAACCGUUUCCUUUAACUAGCCCCGCACAUAACGCGAGGCAGUUUUUCGACAUGUCUUGUCAAAGCAGAGAUCGUGUCCCCUUAUUACUGGAUUCUCAUCAAUACGGGCGUGGGUAACCCAACCGCGCCAUCGAUUGCGGCACUUGGGGGAUGAGCUAUUUUUACCUGGCAAGUGGGGACGCUUAGUUUCGUCCGCCCAUAUAAAGGGAUAAGGAUUCACCUUUCUAUCCAUGCCUUCUUCCUCCUUUGCUCAUCCGUUUUUGCACACUCGAGCUCUAGCGCCCAAGUUCGCACUUCCCACCUCAACCUUCUCCAACCAUGUCCCGAGCGGGAGGCAGGUGGAUGGUAUCCUCCGUCACGGAUGGAGACAUCAAGAAGCUGAGGAGCGCCGGAUACCUGCCUGACGACAUCGCGCACCGGCUCCCAGAUGAGGGGCAGCUCACCCCCACCCCCAGGCCCCAUGAGAGGGUAGUGUUCCUCACCCAUUUCCUCCGCGGACUGGGAUUCCCUCUCCACCCAUUUGUCCCGGGGCUCAUGUUCUAUUACGACCUGGAUUUCCAUGAUCUGGCCCCGAACUUCAUCCUCAACAUCUCGGCGUUUAUCGUUGUGUGCGUGGCCUUCCUCCGCAUCAAGCCCCACUUCGGCUUAUGGUUGAAGACCUUUAAUGUCAAGCCGAAGGUUGUGGGCGACCGCCAGGCGGAGUGCGGAGGCGCCAUGGUGGGCAAGAUGCCCAACGUAACAUGGCUCGAGGGCUCUUUUGUGGAAACCAUAAAGGGGUGGCAAUCGGGUGGUUCUACAUCACCGAGCCGCGUGACCCUGCAUGGGCAGCGGCCCCCCGAGUUCUGAUCUGGCAUCCCCACGCGGCUCACCUCCUGGAAAGAGAAGGGCCUGUCCUGGGGUAGUUUGGAAGAGCUGACCAGACUCCAAACAUGUAUUCAAAACAUGGUGAACAAGAAGCUCAAACUCGUCAACGUGGUCCAGGUCAUGCUCCACCGCCGGAUCCUCCCGUGCCAAUAACGGGAGUUCAACUUGUGGGAGUACAACCCAGCGCAGCACCGAACUCUGAACAGGCUUUUCGACACAACUCACGAAGAUGCCUCGAGGGUGCUGUUCAAAAUCACCAAGGUCCCCCUCCCAUUACUGAGGAUCACGGAUUCAGCGUGAAGCGCCAAGCCAGUGCGGCAGGCUGCUUUACCUUUCACAGGCUACUUAUUUUUUAUAGAUUGACUCCAUGCGGGAUCUAAACUCCCGUACCUUUGACAGGACUGGCAGGAGAUGGCCGGACAGAUCGACUGUCCGGCUCCUAUGCCCGAAGGCCCAGCAGACGCUCUUCUAGCGAAGAUGCUGACUUCGGCUCCUUAUACGGUGCCGGAGAAGACCAAGAAGGACAAGGGAACCCGAAAGAGUUCCCGACGCCAGGCGUCGUCGGACUCACCGUCCGAUGACUCUGCGGCGCACUCCUCCCCCGAAGACGAGGAAGAGGAAGAAGACGCUCCCUCUCUGGCUGGGGGAGAUAAGAAAAGGAAGGCCGCCCCAACUGGGGGGGCGGAAGGGUCCAAGAAGGGAAGGAAUCUCCUUCCGGAUAGUUGCACCGCUGCCGACGAAGGCGAAGACGAGGGGUUGCCCAGGGCCAAGCCCCUGGGGAGAUCGUAAGUAUUCAGAUACCAGAGUAACUCAUAGCAUUCCUUUGUCGCACUGCUUUCCCUAACGUCAAACAUAAUUAUGCAGGUCGCCAUGAGCCAGUAUCGAUGUGUGACGCCCGGAUAAUCAUGCUACAGUAAUCCCACGCUAAUCAUGCCACGUCACCUCGGUUACUGUUGCUAAUCUAUCGUUAGGUCAAAGCUGGUCCAAAAUUCAAAUUCAAAGUUUGGUAAAUAAUAACAGUUUUCAAAAAUUAAAACAAAAAUGUUCGGUGAUUGCCGAAUAAUGCAUAGGUAAUUAUGGUGGAGAAACCACACUUUUAUAAAAUGUUUAAAUAAUCUAAAAUGAAUAAAACAGUAGAAAAACCAAAUCUAAAUGCUUUUAUAAAUAAAUAAAACACUAAACUAAAUUGUUUUGGGAUAAAGCCUUUUGUGGCAGUGGGUUUCGUGGUAUUACAAUUUUAGAGUUCAUUUUAAUACUAAGUAAGAAGUAUAAUUAAGAGAAACUAAAAUAAAGAACAGAAAAAAAAGAAUAAAUAAAAGGAAAAGAAAACACAAAACAGAAAAGAAAACUACCAAAAAAAUAUGGUAAAAGGAGACCCCCCCCACUGGACCCCUUGGCCCAACUGGGCCAUGGCCCAGCCGGCCACCCCCNNNNNNNNNNNNNNNNNNNNNNNNNNNNNNNNNNNNNNNNNNNNNNNNNNNNNNNNNNNNNNNNNNNNNNNNNNNNNNNNNNNNNNNNNNNNNNNNNNNNNNNNNNNNNNNNNNNNNNNNNNNNNNNNNNNNNNNNNNNNNNNNNNNNNNNNNNNNNNNNNNNNNNNNNNNNNNNNNNNNNNNNNNNNNNNNNNNNNNNNNNNNNNNNNNNNNNNNNNNNNNNNNNNNNNNNNNNNNNNNNNNNNNNNNNNNNNNNNNNNNNNNNNNNNNNNNNNNNNNNNNNNNNNNNNNNNNNNNNNNNNNNNNNNNNNNNNNNNNNNNNNNNNNNNNNNNNNNNNNNNNNNNNNNNNNNNNNNNNNNNNNNNNNNNNNNNNNNNNNNNNNNNNNNNNNNNNNNNNNNNNNNNNNNNNNNNNNNNNNNNNNNNNNNNNNNNNNNNNNNNNNNNNNNNNNNNNNNNNNNNNNNNNNNNNNNNNNNNNNNNNNNNNNNNNNNNNNNNNNNNNNNNNNNNNNNNNNNNNNNNNNNNNNNNNNNNNNNNNNNNNNNNNNNNNNNNNNNNNNNNNNNNNNNNNNNNNNNNNNNNNNNNNNNNNNNNNNNNNNNNNNNNNNNNNNNNNNNNNNNNNNNNNNNNNNNNNNNNNNNNNNNNNNNNNNNNNNNNNNNNNNNNNNNNNNNNNNNNNNNNNNNNNNNNNNNNNNNNNNNNNNNNNNNNNNNNNNNNNNNNNNNNNNNNNNNNNNNNNNNNNNNNNNNNNNNNNNNNNNNNNNNNNNNNNNNNNNNNNNNNNNNNNNNNNNNNNNNNNNNNNNNNNNNNNNNNNNNNNNNNNNNNNNNNNNNNNNNNNNNNNNNNNNNNNNNNNNNNNNNNNNNNNNNNNNNNNNNNNNNNNNNNNNNNNNNNNNNNNNNNNNNNNNNNNNNNNNNNNNNNNNNNNNNNNNNNNNNNNNNNNNNNNNNNNNNNNNNNNNNNNNNNNNNNNNNNGCCCCUCGGCGCCCGCUCGGCCCUCUCCUGGGUCGGGCGCCCGUAACGCCCAGCGCCCGUAACCCGCUAUGGCCCCCUGGGCAGUUGACAGAUGGGGCCCACGCCCCUGUCUUGUUAGAAAAAAAAACGAAAAGAAAAUGUAAUUAAAAAAAUGAAAAUAAGUAAUUAGUUAUUUAAUUAAUUAUGUAACUAAUUAAUUAAUUAAAUAAGUAAUUACUUAACUUAAUUAACUCCGUUUAGUACUUAAUUAACUUGAUUAGUUAAUUAAAAUUGUUAAUUAGUUGUUAGACUAUGACGAAUGGGACCCACACGUCAGUUUGACCCAGUCAACGCCCUGUUGACUGCUGACGUCAUGCUGACGUCAGCGUACACUAUUCUGGAUAAUGUUAAUUUAAUUAAUAAUUAAUAAAUUAGAAAAUGAUUUAAAAAUUUAAAAAUUAAUAUAAAUUAAACCGUAGCUCAGAUGAAAAAACUUUGUACAUGAAAGUUGCUCAGAACGACGAGACAAAUCUGGAUACACGGCCUGUUUGUUCGUCACGCAUCCCUAGCAUAGCAAACUCGCAACUUUCCCCUCCGGCUCCUCUGCCCGAAAACGCAAAACACCGGGGAUACUUUCCCGGAUGUCAUCCCCCUUCACCGGUAUCACCUAUUACCGCGUUAGGGCACCUCUAACGCCGUUACUUGUCAUGUCAUGCAUCACUAUGCAUAUGCUUGCUUAAAUAUUUAUUAUUUCUUCCCCCUCUUCUCUCGAUAGACACCGAGACCGACGCCGCUGCUACCCAGUACGACUACGCUGUUGACGACCCUCUUUCUUGCCAGAGCAACCAGGCAAGCGCCCCCCUUGAUCACCAGAUAUCGCCUACUCUCUUCUAUACUGCUUGCAUUAGAGUAGUGUAGCAUGUUACUGCUUUCCGUUAUUCCUAUCCUGAUGCAUAGCCUGUCCUUGCUACUACUGUUGUUACCAUUACCUGCUAUCCUACUGCUUAGUAUAGGAUGCUAGUGUUCCAUCAGUGGCCCUACACUCUUGUCCGUCUGCCAUGCUAUACUACUGGGCCGUGAUCACUUCGGGAGGUGAUCAUGGGCAUAUGCUAUAUACUUUACACAGUUACUUUACCUGUGGUACUGUUCGGAGAUGGGGGCUGAAGGGGCAGGUGGUUCCACCCAGGUAGUGGUGGGCCUGGGUUCCCGACGGCCCCCGACUGUUACUUUGUGGCGGAGCGACAGGGCAGGUUCAGACCACCUAGGAGAGAGGUGGGCCUGGCCCUGGUCGGCGUCCGCGGAUACUUAACACACUUAACGAGAUCUGGGUAUUUGAUCUGAGUCUGGCCAUUUGGUCUAUACGCACUAACCAUCUACGCGGGAGUAGUUAUGGGUAUCCCGACGUCGUGGUAUCAGCCGAAGCCUUCGUGACAUCAGCGACUAAGUGGCGCGUGCCGGAUUGGACCGUAAGCCUGCUCUUGUAUUAAGGGGGCUAGUUCUGCUUCCGGCCGCGUUCGCAACGUGCAGGUGUGCAAAGGGCGAUGGGCCCAGACCCCUGCGCCAUAGGAUUUAGACCAGCGUGCUGACCUCUCUGUUGGGCCUAGGUAGGGCUGCGACGUGUUGAUCUUCCGAGGCCGGGCAUGACCCAGAAAAGUGUGUCCGGCCAAAUGGGAUCGAGCGUGUUGGGGUAUGUGGUGCACCCCUGCAGGGAAGUUUAUCUAUUCGAAUAGCCGUGUCCCUCGGUAAAAGGACGACCCGGAGUUGUACUUUGACCUUAUGAUAACUAGAACCGGAUACUUAAUAAAACACACCCUUCCAAGUGCCAGAUACAACCGGUGAUCGCUCUCUCACAGGGCGACGAGGGGAGGAUCAUCGGUUAGGAUUAUGCUAUGCGAUGCUACUUGGAGGACUUCAGUCUACUCUCUUCUACAUGCUGCAAGACGGAGGUUACCAGAAGCGUAGUCUUCGAAAGGACUAGCUAUCCCCCUCUUAUUCCGGCAUUCUGCAGUUCAGUCCACAUAUGAUAGCCUUAUUCCAAUUGAUACCAAUGCAUACAUAUGUAGUGUAGCUCCUUGCUUGCGAGUACUUUGGAUGAGUACUCACGGUUGCUUUCUCCCUCUUUCCCCCCUAUCCCUUCUACCUGGUUGUCGCGACCAGAUGUUGGAGCUCAGGAGCCAGACGCCACCGUUGACGACGACUCCUACUACACCGGUGGUGCCUACUACUACGUGCUGUCCGCUGACGACGACCAGGAGUAGUUUAGGAGGAUCCCAGGCAAGAGGCCUGCGCCUCUUUCGAUCUAUAGCUCAGUUUGUGCUAGCCUUCUUAAGGCAAACUUGUUUAACUUAUGUCUGUACUCAGAUAUUGUUGCUUCCGCUGACUCGUCUAUGAUCGAGCUCUUGUAUUCGAGCCCUCGAGGUCCCUGGCUUGUAAUAUGAUGCUUGUAUGACUUAUUUUAUUUGUAGAGUUGUGUUGUGAUAUCUUUCUGUGAGUCCCUGAUCUUGAUCGUACACGUUUGCGUGUAUGAUUAGUGUACGGUCAAAUCGGGGGCGUCACACGAUGUAUCAUCGGACGGUUCCCUAGGCUCGUCGGACAUGGAUAGCGAUCCAGUCCCGACCCCCACCUCCCCUCAUCCUGCUGACGACGCCGAGGUGCUGUCUCAAGAGGCAUCGGGUCGAGGGGAGACAGUCCUGGAGGCACCUCAAGGCGACCUUCCGGACUCCGGGAGCCGAGGGGACGGGGCCCCUAAGAGCUUCGAGUUCGGCCCUCAGCCGAACACCGCGCUGGAACCUCCAGUGGUUCCGGGCUCGGUCAGGCGGCCUCCUUCUAAGAGGGGCAAGACACCUGUGCCGGUGACCUCUGUCUAUCCAGAGGCGCCGGACAAUCUGCUGGAAGCGCUUCGCAGCGCUUCCAUCGACGAGGAGCACCGCACUAUCAUGAGUGCGGCGAUCCAGAAAGUUUAGUCCGCCAAGAGCGGAUUGACUGAAGCCUGUGCCAGCCUUCUAACAGGCUUUGAGGUAAGUGUUUUAAAAUAUAGGAAAAAUACUACUGCAUAUAUAGUAGCCCCUGAUGCUUUGUUCGGUGUUCAGAAAGAAAAGCCGAACAGAGGAUCAAAUAAUAUCGCAGGACUCUAAUAUAAGUAUGUCAAUAUGCGUAUGCAAGCCUCACUGCUGGCAUCCGCCACACUGACUGCGGAGGUCGCCCUACUGAAGCAGGACCUCGAGAGGUCUAGGAGAGAGCUCGGCCUUGUCAAGAGGCAGCUCGAGGAGAACAAGGGUAAGUAAUACCUUGUCUUUAGAUAUGUAUAUAUAAAAGAAGAAGCGAUUGCAAAAUGACAGGAUCAUCGUACAUUCGCCAGGGGCCACGACCAAGGUGGCAACCCUCAAGCAAGCGCUAACCAAGGCCGAAGAUAACGCGGCCAAGGAGCGCACCGAGUGAGAGAAGCACGAGGCUCGGGUGGGCGAGGUGCAGCAAGAGCUCUAGGCUAUCAUGGUGAAGCACGAGGCAUUGGAGCUUGACUAAAAGACGCGAGAGUCUGAGCUUUCCGCGGCCCUCGAGAGCGCAAAAAGUGCCAAGGCCGAAGCCCAAAGGGGUCUCCAGGCGGGUAUGGCUUUCUAUAUGCAAAGCAAGCAUGUAAAAGUAAAUUACCGAUUACUUACUCGAAUCCGGAGCUCUCCAGGAGCAUUCGCAGAUUUUCCACGCAGCGUGUCCGAUGCCGCACAAUUUUACCAGGCCGAGGAUGGAAGCUCAAUGGAGAAGCUGUUCUGGUAUCAGUAUGCUGAGGCCGGACACCCGGUGCCAAUGAGCGACCAGCUGAAGCAGGUGGUCGAGCUACAUAAGGCGGCCGAUCAGGCCAUGAAGGGCUUUAUAGUCCGGCUGUGGCCUGGCGACGCCCUUCCGAACAGCUUCCUCGGCCUGGUGAGGCGGCUUGUGGAUGCCUGCCCGCGGCUGGAGGUCGUCAAGCGAUCUGUCUACAUUGAGGGUGCACGCCGGGCUUUCGCCCGUGUGAAAUUGCAGUGGGUCAAGCUAGACGCCGUGAAGCUGAUCAAGGAGGGGCCGCCGGAGGGCAAGGAGCACCGCCACCCCGAGAUGUACUACGAGGGUGUUCUGCUGGGUGCCCGUCUCAUAGCGGACGAGUGUUCAAAAGAUGUAAUAUUUGAGUGAGACUUGCUCGUUUUAUCCUGUAUUUAUGAAAACUUGUUUCAUAUGCACUAUGCAACGCUUGUUUGAAUUUAGAAUAUUACCUUCUGUUUGGCCGUUUAUCAAUCUGAGAGAUGGCUAGUCCUCAGCUUCUGCCCCCAUGCCACGAGUGCUGGGGUCUUCGGGAUAAACCUGAGCACUCUUGUUCCCAUAUUUGGGUCCUUGGAGGGAGGUGCUCAGCACAACGAACAAGGAAACCCGACUAAUAAUGCUUUAUCACUCUCACUUAGCGAUAGAAUUCUAUAAUUUUAAAUUUCGGCGAAGCCCCUGGUAUUCGGAAGGCCGAAUUCGGGGCGCGAUACACGCCUUUAAGCCGGACAGGGCCGGCCCCUCGCCCUAAGCGGCAUAAGUCUUUGGGGACUCGAUAACCUCGCCGAACAGCGAUCAGUCUCUCCCCUUAUCAUGACAGUCAGUUUUAGCUUUCUCUACUUAGGUGCCGAACCCAGCAAAACCGGGGCACAAUCGCAGUAGUUCUCCUAGCGCUACCUUAGCCGAUAGAGUGGAACGUAAGGUACCAAAACAUAGGAGCCGGGCAAACCCAACAUUUGACCAAAGACAUGAUUCGGAGCUGAUGCAUAUAAUGCUAUAAGUUUGGGGUGCCGCACUUGUGAAAGUGUUCGGACUUUUCACACCGUAUUGUGGGGUACGUAAGCCCCUGGUGUAUUGGCCGUACCAAAGUGUACGGUUGCAAGGCAUCAUUAAUGAACAUAUAUAUAUAUAUAUAUAUAUAUAUAUAACAAGAGUGCAAUAAUAGUCGUAAUGUCAUGCAUUGUUUAUUCAAAAAAUUACGUUAAAGUAGGGUGAUACAGAUAGUGUGAUAAGCAAAGAGUAGGACUAUGUCCCUUCCCAAGGCAAGCUAAGGAAUGAUAUUAAAUUGAAUAUUUCGCUCGUUACAGUAAUCCACCUAGGAAUUCCGUGGUGUGACGUAGCUAUCUGCCUCCUUGGUUGCUGCAUCGUGUGUUCGGCAAUAGUGCUGCCGGACAGUGUUUCCAGAGGUUAAUGUCCUGAAAAAAAGAGAAAAAUAACCAAACGGGAAGCCCCUAGUGCGGUUUAAGCCGCGUCUUGGGGCGUGCUGCAGUUGUGCCACCCUCCCCACCUGUGCCCAUGGUAUUUUUAAUGCGUAAUUAUGUACGCGUGGCAUGAGUUUCGUCGUUGGGCUGGGAUUGGGGUGGCCGCCUUAUUGCUACGCGAGCUCAGAUCGCGCAAGGCGGUCUAUUUGCCGAUUGCUCCGAGCGCGCUUGAAGGUGUCCGGGCUUUGAAGCGCCGGACUGGUUGAUUGCCUUGAGAGGCUGCUUUGCGCUUCUGCUGCGAGGGCCGCGGUGUGCUCCUCUGUUCGGAGAGAGCACUCUGUGUUUCCAUUGACUGUAAUAACUCCGCGAGGUCCUGACAUCUUGAGCUUGAGGUAUGCAUAGUGCGGUACCGCAUUGAAUCUAGCAAAUGCGGUUCGCUCGAGCAGCGCGUGGUAACCACUGCGGAAUGGGACUAUAUCGAAGAUUAGCUCUUCGCUUCGGAAGUUAUCCGGGGAUCCGAAGACCACUUCCAGUGUAAUUGAGCCUGUGCAAUGGGCCUCUACACCUGGAAUGAGGCCUUUAAAGGUCGUUUUUGUGGGUUUGAUCCUUGAGGGGUCUAUACCCAUUUUGCGCACUAUAUCCUGAUAAAGUAGGUUCAGGCUGCUGCCGCCAUCCAUAAGGACUCGAGUGAGGUGAAAUCCGUCAAUGAUUGGGUCUAGGACUAGUGCGGAAAAUCUACCAUGAUGGAUACUAGUGGGGUGGUCCCUUCGAUCGAAGGUGAUCGGAUAGGAGGACCAAGGGUUGAACUUUGGGGUGACUGGCUCGAACGCAUAUACGUCCAUGAGCGCACGCUUCCGCUCCCUCUUAGGGAUGUGGGUUGCGUAUAUCAUGUUCACCGUCUGCAGUUGCGGGGGAAACCUCUUCUGUCCUUCGAUGUGCGGCUGCCGGGGCUCCUCCUCGUCAUCGCUAUGCGGCCCCUUGUCCUUCUUUUCGGCAAUUAACUUGCGGGCCUGCUUGAACACCCAACAAUCCCUGUUGGUGUGAUUGGCUGGCUUGUCUAGGGUGCCGUGUAUUUGACACGAGCGAUCGAGUAUACGUUCCAAGCUGGAUGGACCUGGCGUACUUUGUUUGAAUGGCUUUUUCCGCUGACCGGGUUUAGAGCCUUUGAAUCCGGCAUUGACUGCCGUAUCCUCGGUAUUUUCGCUGUUAAUGCGGCGGUUAUGUUUGUUGUGACAUGACCUGCUAUUGCCAUCCUUGGUAUCGGAGGUACCAUGGUUCUUUGAUAUGUUAUUACUACGGGCCAGCCAGCUGUCUUCUCCCGCACAAAAGCGGGUCAUGAGCGUCGUGAGAGCUGCCAUAGAUUUCGGCUUUUCCUGACCAAGGUGCCAGGCUAGCCACUCGUCUCGGAUGUUGUGUCUGAAAGCCGCUAAGGCCUCUGCAUCCGGACAGUCGACGAUUUGAUUUUUCUUUGUGAGGAACCAAGUCCAGAAUUGCCUAGCCGACUCUUCUGGCUGCUGAAUUAUGUGGCUCAAGUCAUCGGCGUCUAGUGGUCGCACAUAAGUGCCCUGAAAGUUGUUGAGGAAUGCGGCUUCCAGAUCUUCCCAACAGCUAAUGGAGUCCGCUGGCAAGCUGUUAAGCCAAUGCCGCGCUGGUCCUUUGAGCUUUAGUGGAAGAUAUUUGAUGGCGUGUAAGUCAUCACCGUGGGCCAUGUGGAUGUGGAGGAGGAAAUCCUCGAUCGAUACUGCAGGAUCUGUUGUGCCGUCGUAUGAUUCAAUAUUUACAGGUUUGAAACCUUCUGGGAAUUGAUGAUCCAUUACUUCGUCUCUGAAGCAUAAGGGGUGUGCGGCGCCUCUGUAGUGGGCUAUAUCGCGACGCAGCUCGAAUGGGUCUUGCCCGCUGUGUUCGGCCCGGCCGGAUUUGCUUUUACUGUAUCCGGCGUGACAUUUAUCGUCUCGCAGAGUUGUGCGCCCUCGUGAUCCGUAGAUCGAUCUUGCAUGCUUUGCUUUGUCCUCCAAUAUAUCUCGCAGGUCUGGCGUAUCUCCCCAUGCCUUUUUAUUUGAAUGGCGUCGGGGUGGAGGCUGAGUUUUUGGCUGGACUGCCUCUCUAUCGCGGCCACGAGGUGGCCGAUCCGGGCAGUAACCUGCACUUUGGGUAAUUCUUGGAGGGGUGCUUGAGUUUAUAUUCCUCGGCCGCGAGGACUUCAGUCCAUCUGUUAGUUAAGAGAUCUUGAUCAGCUUGAAGCUGCUGCUGCUUUUUCUUUAGGCUAUUUUCCGUGGCCAUAAGCCGGUGCUUGAAGCGCUCUUGUUCGAUGGGAUCCUCUGGUACAUCGAAUUCAUCAUCGCCGAGGCUUGCCUCGUCUUCGGAGGCGGGCGUGUAAUUGUCAUCCUCCUCCUCUCCGUCUGCCGCUCUUUCAGGAGGGUUGGCUCCUCCAUCCUCCUGCUCUAAAUCUUGCUGGAGGGGAUUAUUGUUGUCUUCGGCACUAUCCGGAGUGUUAUUAUCUCCUGUGCCGGUAUCACCACUUUUGCUUUGGCGGGACUUAGAGCGGCGCCGCUGACAUCGGCGCUUGGGUUGCUUCUUGGAGAGGUCAUCCUCCGUUAUCUCGUCGCCAUUGCCUUCUUUGGGUGUAUCCACCAUGUAUAUGUCGUAUGAUGAUGUGGCUUUCGAGUGCCCUAUGGGCGCUGGUUCAUGUUCAUCUCCUACAUCGUCGUCCAUACCAUCGAUGUCUUCGGAGUCGAAGUCGAGCAUGUCGGUUAAAUUAUCGACAGUGGCUACGAAGUGGGUGGUGGGUGGGCAUCGAAUUUCUUCGUCGUCCGCCUCCCAAUCCUGUUGGCCAUAGUCCGGCCAGGGCUCUCCUGACAAAGAGAGAGACUUUAGUGAAUUCAGAAUGUCACCGAAGGACGAGUGCUGCAAGAUAUCAGCGGCGGCGAAUUCCAUGAUCGGCGCCCAGUCGGAUUCAAUUGGCAGGGGCGCGGACGGUUCGGAGUCCGGAAAAGAGUCCGGCACCUUGGAGUCACGGGCUUUGCAGAGGAUUAGGCUGGUGUUCAACUCGAUCACCGUUGAGACUGCAGCCCCUGAGGCGGUGUCUAGCCACCCGUCCUCGACUGGCGCAGUUGGCUCCGAGCUAAGGGUCAGAGCUGAUGCGGGCGCGGCCUCUGGGGUACUGUCCGGUGGUAGAGCUAGGUCAUACCCAUCGUGACAGUGCAGCGCGCCCGGCUGUGGCUUGAAUCCGUCGAAGAUCAAGUCUCCGAGGAUGUCGGCCGUGUAGUUCAAACUUCCAAAUCUGACCUGAUGGCCAGGGGUGUAGCUUUCAAUCUGCUCCAGAUGGCCAAGCGAAUUAGCCCGUAGUGCAAAGCCGCCGAACACUGGACCGCAUCGUUGUUCAUGAUCGGAGGAGCCAUCGGGCCUAAAGGUGACGACACCGAGGAAAUCUCAAUGGAAGCACCAAUGUCGGUGUCAAAUCCGGCGGAUCUCGGGUAGGGGGUCCCGAACUGUGCGUCUAGGCCGGAUGGUAACAGGAGGCAGGGGACACAAUGUUUUACCCAGGUUCGGGCCCUCUUGAUGGACGUAAAACCCUAUGUCCUUCUUGAUUAAUAUUGAUGAUAUGUGUAGUACAAGAGUAGAUCUACCACGAGAUCAGAGAGGCUAAACCCUAGAAGCUAGCCUAUGGUAUGAUUGUAUACGUCCUACGGACUAAAACCCUCCAGUUUAUAUAAACACCGGAGAGGGUUAGAGUUACACAAGGUCGGUUGCAAAGGAGGAGAUAUCCAUAUCCGUAUUGCCUAGCUUGCCUUCCACGCCAAGUAGAGUCCCAUCCGGACACGGGACGGAGUCUUCAAUCUUGUAUCUUUAUAGUCCAACAGUCCGGCUGUCCGGAGACCCCCUAAUCCAGGACUCCCUCACCCCCACUCCCUAUCGAACCCUAGCCCAAUCGCCCCACCUCCCCCACACCCCCUCGCCAGCCUCCCCACCUCUUGAUCCCAUCUGGAUCGGGGAGGGGAUCACCCCCAUCGACCCCGUCGCCGUCGCCGGAUCGCCCGUCAGCGUCGCCAGGCCUCCUCCCCGCCGCCCGUCUCCGGCUCGCCUCCCCUCUCGCUCCUCUUUCCCGACCCGAUCAGGAUCGUGAACGAGCAAUGAGCGCGACGCCCCCCCUUCAUCGGCGCCAUCACCGUGCGCCACCACCACCGCCUGAAGACCUCGCCGUCGCUGACCUUGUGUCGUCUCCUGGUAUCCCUUCCCGACUCGCGUCCUCAAGCCAGGCCGACCCCCUUCUCGGCAAUGCUGUGAGACGCCCCCCGUUUCCCUCCUCUUUCCACCGUGUUCACCGCGCCGCCUGACGAAGCUACGUACCUAGGGUAGGGGCAUGGACCUGUCCUAAGAGCCCUACCCAAGGACAUCCCUGGAAGAAGUCACCUUUCAAUCGACUUGAAGGUACCCACUCGACGGGUUUAAGACACUCGACCAAGAAGCUACCACUCGACAUGAAGCCAAUCACUCGACUGCCAGGAGAUCUAAAGUCAUUCCACGGGCAAACGGUCGGCUAUUAAGUAGUCUUUAUGGUCAUUAUAGCACUUUAUUACCAGCAUUACCAGUAACGCCCCGCCUUAAUGUACAUUGAACCCUUGGUAACGUAGGCUGGCCGGGGUCCUGGCGCGCUCUAUAUAAGUCACCCCCUCCUCCGAGACAAGGGUUCGCACCUCUAUUGUUCACAUGCCUAUAAUCCAAUCGACCGCCUCCGGGCACUGAGACGUAGGGCUGUUACUUCCUCCGCGAAGGGCCUGAACUCGUACACCUUGGUGUGUUUACAACUUCCCAAUAGCUGAGAUCUAGCCUCUCCAUACACACCCCCCUACAUCACUGUCAGAGUUAGAACCACAAUAGUUGGCGCCCACCGCGGGGCCAGAAUCUUAGCGCUUACUUGGAGAAGUUGCGAUUCUUCUGAUCCCUUUGAUCAUGGUUUCAUGCGGAGUUUUGGUGGAGGGGCGCGAGAUCCGUCUCGGCGCGCUCACAUUCAUCGCCGACGACUCCGCUUGGUUUCAGGAGGCUCCACUCGACAUCGACGUGCUCCCCGUCCGUGGUGCGACGCACUUCCGCGCAUGCGUUCGUGGCGUCCUCCUGCGGCAGCCGUCGACCCAGUAUCGGUCGGCCCUCGUGUCGUCUCCCCGCUCUGUCUCCCUCCGACGCAAGCGCUUUGGUAGGUCGAGACUUUAGAGGUGGGUGAGGCAUGCCGUGGCUCGCCAGUCGGCCGCCCCACAAGUCGCGGCAAUCGAGCCCGACAAAUCCCUCUGCAGCCUGUUCGACUGGCUCCGCGGAGACUUCAUCCGAGUGUGACAGCAGAGACCCAGCGGCUGAGGUUCUGGCGGUCGAUGGGACACACUGUCCUCCCGGUUUCCCUCGCGCUAAUGGAGGCGCGGGUGGGGGCGACCCGUCGCAUCCCCACGAUGAGUAUCUCCCCGAAUGUCUCACGGCAUCGCAGCGAGAGGAACUUCACCGCCGGAACAUAGACGCACUCCACACUCCUAUCGUCGGAGAAACCCCCGAGGCCCGGGCCUUGGAGGACGCGCGCUUGGCUAACUUGGCUGAGCGCACUCGACUGGAGAAUCUCCAGCUAAUACUCGAUGAGCAAGCGCGCCAGUGAGCUCCCGAGUCCAGUCGACGUCAGCUCUUUCCGCCGAUGCAGGUAUAUUGAACCCUAGUUCAGAAUUUGGCCGCCGCGGCCCGUAUAGCAGAGUCAAUUCAGCCCUCCCAGUCAGAGGCUGGCAGGGGCUUGUUGCAGAUCAGAGCAUUGCUCCGGGCGGCGGGGAACCAGAAUUCCGCUGUUUCUCAGUCGCAGAAUAGGAUCCACAGUCGAUCCGUUGCAACAGAUACAGUCCAGUCGGCUCACAGCCCGAGAUCGCCCCCGAGGCGUGAGGGACAUGGAGACCGGCACGAUCAGUACAGAAGAAAUGAGCAGUAUGAUCACCGAUUCGAUCGUGAGGAUCGACGUCGAGUGCCAACCCCUCCCCCGAGGAGUGGGUCAUAUGCGCCUCGAUAGCGAGAUGACAGGCGCCCUCAUAGUGUUGGGCAGAGGAUUCCAGUCGACCCCAGGGACCCAGGCUUUGAUGCGAGAUCCAUCCUUGAUCAAGGUCUGGUUGACAGGAACGGGGCUCACCGAGAAUGCCAGGACAGAGAUGCGCCUGCCAGCAGCAGAGUGCGUGUUUCAGGGACAGAGUGUUUCAGUCGAGCCAUCAGAGCCACAGUGAUUCCUCCCAACUUCAGGUUGGCGACUGGAGUCAGCUAGUUCACCGGUGAGUCUAAGCCUGACACUUGGCUCGAAGAUUACCGAGUGGCUGUACAGAUUGGCAGUGGCAAUGAUGAGGUGGACAUGAAGCAUUUGCCUCUCAUGUUAGAGGGCUCAGCCAGAGCAUGGCUAAAUCAGUUAGUGCCCAGCAGCAUUUACACUUGGGAGGACCUCUCCCGAGUGUUUGUCACAACCUUUGAGGGAACAUGCAAGCGACCUGCAGGCCUUACAGAGUUGCGGUCUUGCACGCAGAAACCGAAUGAAACGCUGAGGGAUUACAUCCAGAGGUGGAUCACAUUGCAUCACACAGUUGAGAAUGUUCCAGAUCAUCAAGCAGUUUGUGCCUUCAAAGAAGGCGUUAAGUACAGAGAAUUGAAUCUGAAGUUCGGUCGAACUGGAGAGAUGUCUCUGAAUCGGAUGAUGGAGAUUGCCACCAAAUACGCUAAUGGUGAAGACGAAGAUCGCCUCCGGAGUGGCAAGCGCAAGGCAGUCGCCCAAGAAACCGGAGGAAACUCCAGUCAGAAACAGAAGCGGAAGGCUGAGCCAGCCGCCCCUGGGGAGGCCCUGGCCGUAACCCAGGGAAAUUUCAAGGGAAAACCCAAGGGCCCCUGGAAGCCCAAGAAAGUCAAGGAUCAAGAUGGAAAUGAUGUUUUGGAUCUGCCAUGUCACUCCACACCAAGAAAGAUGAAGAGGGUAAUUUUAUUUACCCAAAGCAUACCACUCGACAGUGCCAGCUCCUGAUCCAGCAGUUUCAGGGCAAGCAACCCAAAGAUAAGGAAAAAGAGCCAGACAGAGUUGAGGACAAGGAUGAUAGUGACGAUGGAUACCCCCAAGUCAAUUCCACCCUGAUGAUUUUUGCUGAUGUCGAAAGCAAAAGUCGACUGAAAGUCAUUAAUCGUGAAGUGAAUAUGGUUGCUCCGGCAACACCUAGUUAUCUGAAGUGGUCUCAGGCUGCCAUAACAUUCGACCAGUCUGAUCACCCUACGCACAUUGCCACCCCUGGGAGGCAAGCUUUGGUGGUCGACCCAGUUGUCGAAGGCACUCGACUGACCAAAGUCCUGAUGGAUGGUGGCAGUGGCCUGAACAUACUGUAUGCUAAAACAUUGAAAGGGAUGGGCAUUCCGAUGUCCGGGCUCAGUACCAGCAACAUGAGCUUCCACGGAGUCAUUCCCGGGAAGUAAGCCGAAUCACUCGGCCAGAUUGCUCUUGAUGUGGUUUUCGGUGAUUCAAAGACUUACCGCAAGGAAAAGUUGACAUUCGAGGUUGUGGACUUCCAAAGUGCUUAUCAUGCCAUUUUGGGCAGACCAGCUUAUGCACGCUUCAUGGCCUGACCAUGUUAUGUGUAUCUCAAAUUGAAGAUGCCUGGUCCUAAAGGUGUGAUCACUGUUACAGGCAAUCGGAAGAAGGCAGAAGAGUGUUUUCAGAAAGGCUCAAAGAUUGCUGACGCUCAGAUGGCAGUGGUUGAGCUGCAAGAGUAUCAGAAGACUGCAGAUCCGAGUGAGUUGCUACGAGCUAAGAAGCCCACUUCGGAGUCAGCUUUUCAGUAGUCUGGUGAAAUGAAGGCAGUUCACAUUCACCCGACCAACCCCGAGGCUGCCCCGACUCACAUCUCAAAGACGCUCGACUCCAAAUAGGAAGAAGUGCUCAUCCAGUUCCUCCGUGAGAACUGGGACAUCUUCGCAUGGAAGCCUUCUGACAUGCCUGGAAUAACCAGGGGGCUGGCUGAGCACCGUCUACGAGUCGACCCAAAGUUCAAGCCUAUGAAAGAACAUCUUCGACGGUCCGCCGUCCAAAAGAGGAAAGCUAUUGGCGAGGAGGUGGCUCGGCUCUUAGCAGCAGAGUUCAUCCGAGAGAUGUACCACUCUGAGUGGCUCGCCAAUGUUGUCAUGGUCCCCAAGAAGGACAAGUCGCUUCGCAUAUGCAUCGACUUUAAACAUAUCAAUCGGGCCUGCCCGAAAGAUCAUUUUCCUCUCCCUCGCAUCGACCAAAUAGUCGACUUGACCGCGGGGUGUGAGCGAUUGUCUUUUCUAGACGGCUAUUCCGGGUACCAUCAGAUCCGUCUGUAUGGACCCGAUGAGAUCAAAACAGCUUUCAUCACUCCAUUCGGGUGCUUCCGUUAUGUCACCAUGCCCUUCGGCCUCAAGAACGCUGGAGCCACGUUCAUGAGGAUGAUUCAGAAGUGUUUGCUCACUCAAAUCAGUCGGAACGUGGAAGCAUACAUGGAUGAUAUUGUGGUCAAGUCGCGGAAAGGUUCCGACCUGCUGACUGACCUUGCUGCAACCUUUGCCAACCUUAGGAGGUAUGAUAUCAAGCUUAAUCCAUCAAACUGCACAUUCGGAGUUCCGGGUGGAAAGUUACUCGGUUUUCUCGUUUCCGAAUGAGGAAUCAACGCCAAUCCCGAGAAAGUUGGCACCAUACUCCGGAUGAAGCGCCCUGUGCGUGUGCACGAUGUCCAGAAGCUUAUGGGUUGCUUGGCCGCUCUAAGUCGAUUCAUUUCUCGUCUCAGUGAAAAGGCAUUGCCUCUUUACCGACUGAUGAAGAAGUCUGACAAGUUCGAGUGGACUCCAGAAGCUGAUGCAGCGUUUGCAGACCUCAAAGCUCUGCUCUCCACCCAGCCGGUGCUUGCUGCCCCAAUCAGUAAAGAGCCUUUGCUGCUUUACAUUGCAGCCACAGGACAAGUUGUCAGUACAGUACUUAUGGUCGAGCGGGAAGAUGAAGGAUAGGCCUUCAGAGUUCAACGCCCAGUAUAUUAUGUGUCUGAAGUUUUGACACCUUCAAAACAAAGAUAUCCUCAUUAUCAGAAGCUUGUAUACGGGAUUUAUAUGACCACGAAGAAGGUUGCACAUUACUUCUCUGACCACUCCAUUACAGUCGUCAGCGACGCCCCACUGUCAGAGAUUCUGCAUAACAGAGAUGCAACUGGUCGAGUGGCGAAGUGGGCGAUUGAACUCCUUCCCCUAGAUAUCAAGUUUGAAGCAAAUAAGGCUAUCAAGUCCCAAGCAAUUGCAGAUUUCAUCACCGAGUGGAUCGAACAGCAGCUUCCGACUCAAGUUCACCCGGAGCACUGGACCAUGUUCUUCGAUGGAUCUAAGAUGCUGAAUGGUUCCGGUGCUGGGGUAGUAUUGGUCUCCCCCCGAGGAGAUAAGCUCAGAUAUGUUCUCCAGAUUCACUUUGAUUCCUCCAAUAAUGAAGCAGAAUAUGAAGCACUUUUGUAUGGGUUGCGCAUGGCCAUUUCACUUGGCGUCCGUCGCCUCAUGGUCUAUGGCGACUCAGAUUUGGUGGUUAAUCAGGCGAUGAAGGAGUGAGACGUCAGAAGUCCGGCAAUGACUGGUUAUUGCAAUGUAGUGAGAAAGCUAGAAAAGAAAUUCGAGGGGUUAGAGCUUCAUCACAUCCCCCGACUGAAAAAUCAGGUAGCUGACGAUUUGGCAAAGAUAGGCCCCAAGAGAGAAGCCAUUCCCAGCAACGUGUUCCUGGAACACAUUCAUUCGCCAUCAGUCCAAGAAGAUCCUUUUACAGAAGAAGCCCCGCAGCCGAAAAGUGCCACAGAUCCGACUGAAGUCGAAGUCCCUGCUGUGGUCGACCUAAUCAUGGAAGUCUUCGCAAUCACUCCCGACUGGACGAUACCGUACAUCGCGUAUAUCCUAAGGAAAGAACUCCCGGAGGACGAGGAAGAGGCUCGACAGAUCGUCCGCCGAUCCAAAGCCUUCACAGUCACAAGGGGACAGUUGUAUAGAGAAAGCGCGACUGGGAUCGGUCAGAAGUGCAUAACACUAGAAGAGGUUCAGAUAAUCCUUGACGACAUCCACUCGCGGACCUGUGGUCACCAUGCGUCUUCUCGGACCAUUGUGGCUAAAGCAUACCGAGCGGGAUUUUACUGGCCAAGAGCAAAUGAGAUGGCAAAAGAGAUAGUCGACCAGUGUGGAGGGUGCUAGUUCUACUCCAACAUGUCACACAAGCCUGCGUCAGCCCUGAAGACCAUUCCACUCGUCUGGCCCUUUGCUGUCUGGGGACUGGACAUGGUUGGUCCACUAAGAACAGGCAGGAGCGGUUUCACUCAUGUGCUUGUGGUAGUCGACAAGUUUACCAAAUGGAUUGAGGCUAAGCGCAUCAAGAAUCUUGAUGCUUGCACUACUAUCAGUUUCGUCAGAGGGCUAACAUUCAGAUAUGGAGUCCCGCAUAGCAUCAUCACUGACAAUGGGUCAAACUUUGAUUCGGACAAGUUCAGAGCUUUUUGCGCCUCUCAAGGCACACGAGUCGACUACGCAUCGGUCGCCCAUCCCCAGUCGAAUGGACAAGCAGAGAGAGCAAAUGGUUUGAUUCUCAAAGGACUAAAGCCUCGACUGAUGCGCGAUCUCAAGCACGCGGCAGGUGCUUAGGUCGACGAGCUUCCGUCAGUUCUGUGGGGAUUGAGGACCACCCCGAACCGGUCGACUGGAGGAACUCCAUUCUUUCUGGUUUAUGGAGCCGAGGCAGUUCUGCCGAGUGAUCUUCUUCACAACGCACCCCGAGUCGAACUUUAUACCGAAGAUGAAGCAGAACAAGCCCGGCAAGACGCAGUCGACCUACUAGAAGAAGAGAGGGAGAUGGCCAUGAUCAGAUCGACCAUUUAUCAGCAAGACUUGCGUCGAUUCCACGCUAGGAAUGUGAAGAGUCGAGCCUUCCAAGAAGGAGAUUUGGUCCUCCUAGUGGAUCAACAGAAACCACACAAGCUUGCUCCUACUUGGGAAGGCCCCUUCAUCGUCACCAGAGUCCUCCACAAUGGAGCGUAUCACCUCUACAAUGUUGAUCGCCAGAUCGAUGAGCCGCGAGCUUGGAAUGCGGAACUGCUCCGCCCCUUUUACACUUGAGUUCUCCCUUGGACGAGAUGUAAUAAGAAAAAAUUUCUGCAGUUCAUUUUUAUCAAAGGCAAGAGUGUUCCAAUAAUUGCUGUCACUUUUGUUUGCAUACGAAAUCCCCCAGUGGGUGACUUAGCUGCGAAUCCGUUUCGCCUAAGUUUGAAAAAUCCUACCGAGUGGAGAGCCAGAUUCCCACUCGGGGGCUUAGCUCCAGCCCAGUGCUUGCCUAAGUGUUCAAAAAUCCUACCAAGUGAGAGCAAUCCUCCCACUUGGGGGCUUAGCUGCAGUCCAGUACUCGCCUAAGUUCUCCCACUUAGAGACUUAGCUGCAGUCAGGCACUCGCCUAAGUUUGAAAAAAUCCUACCGAGUGGAGAGCAAUCCUCCCACUCGAGGGCUUAGCUGCAGUCCAGUACUCGCCUAAGUUCUCCCACUUAGAGACUUAGCUACAGUCAGGCACUCGCCUAAGUUUGAAAAAAUCCUACCGAGUGGAGAGCAACCCUCCGACUCGGGGGCUUAGCUGCAGUCCAGUACUCACCAAAGUUCUCCCACUUAGAGACUUAGCUANNNNNNNNNNNNNNNNNNNNNNNNNNNNNNNNNNNNNNNNNNNNNNNNNNNNNNNNNNNNNNNNNNNNNNNNNNNNNNNNNNNNNNNNNNNNNNNNNNNNNNNNNNNNNNNNNNNNNNNNNNNNNNNNNNNNNNNNNNNNNNNNNNNNNNNNNNNNNNNNNNNNNNNNNNNNNNNNNNNNNNNNNNNNNNNNNNNNNNNNNNNNNNNNNNNNNCUCUCCUUCCGAGCUACGCCACAAGUACAACAUGCGCUCUGCAAGGAGGACGAGGUGCAGGUCGACUGCUACCCUCUCCUUCCGAGCUACGCCACCAAUUCAAAAUCCUACUGAGUGGAGAGCAAACCUCCCACUCGGGGGCUUAGCUGCAGCCCAGUGCUCGCCUAAGUAUUUGAAAUCCUACCGAGUGGAGAGCAAACCUCCCACUCAGGGGCUUAGCUGCAGCNNNNNNNNNNNNNNNNNNNNNNNNNNNNNNNNNNNNNNNNNNNNNNNNNNNNNNNNNNNNNNNNNNNNNNNNNNNNNNNNAAAUCCUACCGAGUGGAGAGCAAACCUCCCACUCGGGGGCUUAGCUACAGCCCAGUGCUCGCCUAAGUAUUUAAAAAUCCUACCGAGUGGAGAGGAAACCUCCCACUCGGGGGCUUAGCUGCAGCCCAGUGCUCGCCUAUGUGUUUAGAAAUCCUACCGAGUGGAGAGCAAACCUCCCACUCGGGGGCUUAGCUGCAGCCCAGUGCUCGCCUAAGUGUUUAGAAAUCCUACCGAGUGGAGAGCAAACCUCCCACUCGGGGGCUUAGCUGCAGCCCAGUGCUCGCCUAAGUGUUUAGAAAUCCUACCGAGUGGAGAGCAAACCUCCCACUCGGGGGCUUAGCUGCAGCCCAGUGGUCGCCUAAGUGUUUAAAAAUCCUACCGAGUGGAGAGCCAGACUCCCACUCGGGGGCUUAGCUGCAGCCUAGCGCUCGCCUAAGUGUUUAAAAAUCCUACCGAGUGAGAGCAAACCCCUCACUCGGAGGGCUUAGCUGCAGCCCGGUGCUCACCUAAGUACAGGACACAACCCAAUCCGCAAGAAGUUACGCCACAAAUACAAGGUUAUUCCGAGUGAAGAUCAAGUUGCACUCGACAGAUCAAACCAUGAAGAUAUCCAACGAGAAAUCAAGUUCGGAUAAAGCCUAAAGGUCCCAGACCUCAGAUCAAAGUACUCGAGCCCUCGGCUCGGCAGAGUUUAACGGUUACAAAUCCACUCAGCAUUCCGAGGCAAAUUUAAAGUGAAGCACGACGAACUCGUCCAAGUCGAUCCCGUCUGCAAUACGAGUGGCAGCAGCGAUGAAAGUCUCCAUGAAGUCUUGAAAGCUGUGCUUCCUGGUAUUGGCAACUUGGAUGGCGGCCGGCUUUUCUUCUCGCGCCUCCUUGCAAUGGACGCGGACCAGAGACAGAGCGACAUCAGCACCACAUCUAGCAGAAGAUUUCUUCCAUUCCGCCACUCAACCCGGGACUUCAUUCUGUCGAGCCAUCAGAGACUCGAGGUCGUUCUGAAGCAUCAUCCCAGGCCAGAGUGAUGUGUCAAUCCGCGACAUCGCAACCUUCAGUCGAGCAAGAUAGUCAACAACACUGGUAACACGAGACUCCAGUCGGAGCACGUUCAUAGCAGCUUCAUCCUUCACGAGAGAAUUGGCGGGGUCCAAGCCUGGCUCCACUCGACUGGUUUCCUCUUCGAAGUUCUGGCAGAAUUCUGCAAACACGAUUCAAGAGUCAGACAUUGGCUCUACACAGGCUUGGCAACUGCAAGACAGUCGGGGCAGAGUAAUUACCUUCGAGCAUGACGAACAGCUUCUUGGUGAGUCCACCGAGAUAAGCCUCCAGAUCAUUUACCUUCCCCGCCAGCUUACCCGCCUGGUCGUGUAGAACCAUCUUUUCAUUCUUCAGUCGGCUGACCUCUUGAUUAGCUGUCUCGAGAGCAGUUUUCAGCCUCGAGUUCUCCUGUUCAAGAGUUCCGACCGAAGCCAUUUUCUCUUCUCCAAGCUUCGUUCUGCUCAAGGCCUCCUUCUGUGAUUCUGCAAGAUCUUGAUCCUUCUUCUUCAGAGCUUCUUCCAGUUUAUCUGCGGCACGUCGAGUGAAAUCAACAUCAAGAAUGGACAAGCAAGAAAAAUCACUCGUCAAGAAUGGAGAACCUCACCAGCCAUACCUUUUGCUUCUUCUUGCGCCUUCCUCAAAUUCUCUUGAGCAAGCUUCAAGUUAAGGUUGAGCUGGAUCUGCUUAUUCUCCAACUCAGUAUAGCGAGCUACAAGUUCACAGGAUUUCUGCAAAAAGAAAAAUCAGUGGACAGACGUCCAAGAUAAGUUGCUUCCCAAUAACUAAAAGACAACGAUGGCGUUUCUAAGACUAUAGCCGAAUCUAAAACAUUCGACAGUAGUCUCGGGGACUACACCCAGUGGGUGCACUCUGCGUGCCCCCAUUGUAAAAAAAGUCGACUGCCCGCAGUCGACCGGAUACAGUUCCAUUCGACAUGGCCUGACCAGACCGAAUGAAGAAAUACAGCUACAACAACACAAUAUAAAGACUACAGUCGACUGCCAGCAGUCCACCAUAGUCUCGGGGACUACACCCAGUGGGUGCACUUAGCGUUCCCCCACUCGUCCAAGAAUUGGCAGACACACCCAGUGGGUGUACAGAUAUAAAGAUCUUCAAAAAAAAAGAUUCUUCAAACAGCAUAUCGUAACAGACCAAGUGUUGAGUCGACUGACCUGGACGUUACUCUGAAGAGCCGAACUCGCGUCAUAAGCCGCUUGGCUGGCCUCCCAAGCCGCUUUCACUUGUUCCAUCAUAAUCCCCGCCUGGCGUAUGGCCUCUUUUGCAGCAGCUGCUUGGUCCUCAGGGACGGGGUACGUGGCAAAAAGCGAAGGCGGAUCCGCAGUCGACGUCAAGGGCCGCACCCUCGUCAGAGGAAUGGCGAAAGUCACAGAAGCCCGAGUGGUUUCACCACCGUCUCGGGCUACGGCCUCAGGCGCCGGAGUGGAUUGUGGGGUCUCGCCAGCCGACGCUCCCCUGUUCCUUCUCACUCUCAGCGGCACGUCAUCGUCGUCAUCCGGAAGGUUGAUAACAUGAUAAGGAGCUACAAGAAAAAAUUCAAUCGACCAGAGUUGCAAUAAGUGUCCAGUCGACUGAAGGCAGAACAUCAGUAAUCAUACCAGGGUGGAGGUAACAGCAUCCUCCAUCUCUUGGUCGUCGUCCUUGGCAGAGACCUCCGAAGUAGGAGCACUGCAAAUCUCGAAAGUCAGUCAGUUGGCUCAAUGAAUCGACCAAGGAUCUGUCCACGGUCGACAAAGGAAAACAAGUUUUGUUAUUACCCAGAAAUGGUGGGGACAGCCAUCUUCAUCUUGGGCAGAGCCUUGGGCGGCUUGGACGGCGUCGCGCGUGGGUGCUUGGGAGCCUUUCCAGUCAGCGUAGGAGAAGAGGUUCGAGGGCGUUUCGACAACUGCCCAACAGGAGCAGUCGCCUACCACGUUCCCGCGCUGGAUCAUGUGUGAGCUUGGAUCGCCUCUCCCGGUGGGGGGGGGGGGGGGGUCAACCUCCUCCUCCUCCUCUUCGCUGGAGUUGACGUCGUCGUCUCCCUCUCCUUCGCCAUCGGACUCCCACUCGCCUUGAUCGUCUCCACUCUCACAUCCGCUCGCCUCCCCUUCCUCAGUUGGCUCCUGUGCCCCGUUGGGUGUCGAGUACAUCUCAGUAGUCGCCUGGAAAACAACAGACAAGACAAAAGUUAGUCGACCAAUUCAAAGAAGACCAAUGAAGAAAACAAGAUUUCAAUCGGGAGCGUAAAGUCAGACCUGGUCCACUUCGUAUUGUUGUCGAGUGGAGAAACCCUCCUGGCGCCUCGGGGGUUGUCUUUGUUUCCUGUGAUGCUCGUCAGCCACCCCUCCAACAUCUCAUCAGUGACCUCCUCCGGGUGGAUCCGAGUGGUGUCUUCGAGGCCCGAGUACAGCCACAUCGGGUGGCCGCGAGCCUGGAGCGGUUGGAUGCGCCUCCGAAGAAAGACCUCCAGCAAGUCCAUGCCAGUCACGCCAUCACGGACGAGCUGAACCACUCGACCAACCAGCACUUUGAAUUGGGUCUUUUCUUCUGGCGUCACUUUCAGAGAAGCAGGUUUUUGAGCUCGGUCGAGAGAGAAAUGGGGAAGCCCGGUCGACUGUCCUGGGGUCACCUGGUCUUUGCAGUAAAACCAGGUCGCCUGCCAACCACGGACCGACUCUGGGAAAAUGAUAGAUGGAAAACAACUCUUUCCCCUCGUCUGGAUCGCGAGGCCCCCGCACAGCUGGAUCACUUGCGUCCUUUCCUCACUCGACUUGGCCUUCUUGACCGAUUGGGAGCGGCAAGUAAAGAUGUGCUUAAAGAGCCCCCAAUGGGGGCGGCAACCCAGGAAACCCUCACACAAGGAAAUGAAGGUAGCAAGGUACACGAUAGAGUUGGGAGUGAAGUGGUGGAGCUGCGCUCCGAAGAAAUUUAGAAAACUCCGGAAAAAAGGAUGAGGAGGCAGAGAAAACCCUCGAUCGAUGUGGGUGGUGAGAAGGACACACUCACCAUCACGGGGUUGAGGCUCGACUUCUCCCCCCUGGAGACGCGCAGCCUCGUAAGGAAUGACUCCCCCCUCAACCAUAUCGUCGAGGUCUUCCUGCCGAAUCACCGACGGCAUCCAAUCGCCCUGGAUCCAGCCUCUGGGCAGAGCAGUCCUUGAGGAAGAUCCGCCCCAAGCGGACUUCUUCCCUUUCCCCUGCACCGACGCCUUCUUCGCGCGCUCCAGAGCAGACGUCUUGCCCUUCACCAUCGUCGCCGGCGAAUCUCAAACGGGUCUGCGGCGCUAGGGUGAGAGCGGAGGUGGCGGAGGACUUCGCGAAGGGAGAAAGAAGAGAAAGAAGAGAAAGGAGAGAGCACUGUUCGGGAACCCGAGCAGGCGGCUUAUAAGAGGCCGCUCCUGAGUGGCUGACUGGUAGGCCCAGGCUAUCCCGUCAAAUCCCGCAGUAGACGCGCGCGCAGCUCGUGGCGGAAAAGGUGGCACGGGAAUCGAGGAGCUUCUGCCUUAUCACAUCCGAUUACUGCGGCCGCGCCCGUCCCGCUCGCUCCCCGAUGUUCAAAUCCCGCGAAAUCCGCGGGCUGCGGAACAACUCAUCAAAUAGAAGAUCCCUCUCGUGCCGGCACUCGGUAUUUCACAAGUAAGGAAAUUCACUCGACGGGAGACCAAGAAUGGAUCAAGGCGACCGAAAGAAGUUGACAACGUCAUCCUUGGCGAUAGAUCUAGUACAAGACGUCCAUAUGACGCUAAAAACCAGUCGGAAGGACCCCCAACUCCUUCCCCACUCGAACCUCGAUCCAUUCGGGGGCUAAUGACGAAGCUACGUACCUAGGGUAGGGGGAUGGACCUGUCCUAAGAGCCCUACCCAAGGACAUCCCUGGAAGAAGUCACCUUUCAAUCGACUUGAAGGUACCCACUCGACGGGUUUAAGACACUCGACCAAGAAGCUACCACUCGACACGAAGCCAAUCACUCGACUGCCAGGAGAUCUAAAGUCAUUCCACGGGCAAACGGUCGGCUAUUAAGUAGUCUUUAUGGUCAUUAUAGCACUUUAUUACCAGCGUUACCAGUAACGCCCCGCCUUAAUGUACAUUGAACCCUUGGUAACGUAGGCUGGCCGGGGUCCUGGCGCGCUCUAUAUAAGCCACCCCCUCCUCCGAGACAAGGGUUCGCACCUCUGUUAUUCACACGCCUAUAAUCCAAUCGACCGCCUCCGGGCACCGAGACGUAGGGCUGUUACUUCCUCCGCGAAGGGCCUGAACUCGUACACCUUGUUGUGUUUACAACUUCCCAAUAGCUGAGAUCUAGCCUCUCCAUACACACCCCCAACAUCACUGUCAGAGUUAGAACCACGACACCGCCUGCCGUGCCCCUCGCCGCACGCCCACCACCGCGCCAGCCCCCACUCUGUGGACGACCCUAGCCGCGCCCGCGCCGUGAUCCCCUUUUCCGCCCUACCUUCCCGCACUCGCCGCGGUCCCGAUGCUCCCCCGCGCCCUCUUUCAGGGGCGCCGACUGCCCCUGUCCCAUUACUCGCCGCCGCGCCUCGCCACCGCUCUACUGCUACGUUACUACUGCGCUGCGGCCGCCGCCUCUUCCCGCUGCUCCGCUAGCGCCGAAGCUCCCGGCUGGCUCUGCCACUGGUCACGUUUAACUACCGGUCUAAAUGGCCUAACCUCCCGGCAAAUGAACCCCCAGUAACCCACUGACACCGGGAGCCACAUCCCCUAAUUAACCAUUAAUAAAUUAAAACUCUUAAAUUAACAUUAGUGUAUGACAUGUGCGUCCCCUGUUAAUUAAUAAUUUACAUUAGUGUAUGACAUGUGCGUACCCUGUUAAAUAAACUGAUUUAAUUAAAAUCUAUUAACUUCGAGUCUAUGACAUAUCACUACUUGGGAAAAUCCUAGCAGUAGCGUGGGUAUUUUUCCUAUCAGUUGCGCCGGAUACCGCUCUACUGAUAAGGCACUACAGCUAACAUGUAGCAGUAAUGCGUGUCAUCCAACGCUACUGCUGUACAUGGCUAGCAGUAGCGAGCUUUAGUGCAAAGCGCUGCUGCUAAUAUCUGCAGCGCUUUUCAGCAUGAAGUGAUACUGGUAAGGGACCUCUACUACUAACUUUAUUCCCCUCGCUACUGCUAGUUUUAUUAGUUUCUGUUUUUUUCUGCAUAUUUCUUUUGUAUUUGAACAGGCUUUAUACAAUAAUAUUUAGCGUAUCAUACACAUACAAAUGUAAUCAUAGCAUAUACAUACAAAUAGUCUCGUCAAAUCAUGUCAUCAUCAUAAUCAUCAUCCAUCACAAAGUGGUCUCUCGUCAUCAUCUCUAAAAUAGCGAUACAAGUCUCGAUUACUUGCAACUACAUUGUCAUCCGUCUAAACAAUGAUAUACGCGAGAAGAGCUAUCACUAUGAGUGAGAGCGGAACUAUGCAGUACAUGAGUUUGUAUCCCUCUCUCGCAUUAGCGUGAACCUAAACUAACUACUAGUUGUCGCUCGGAAACCAGAAACCGGUACACCUGGGCCUGACACUCCGUCCACUCAUCUUAUACUCCUGGCGUAGCACUUCUGUGCCAUCGAUGAUCUAUGCACCUGCAUCGUCACAUGAGUCGAUGAUAUGCAACAUAUAUAGUUGAGCAAUAGAAACAGACAGACUUGGCAAAAAUAGAAGCAACAUAUCAUAAGCAUAAAUAACAAAGUUCAUCAUACCCAAAAUGCCCUAACUAGAGUGAUCUUCGCUAGUCGAGGAGGACGGUUUAAUUACAUCACAAAUAAUGUUUCAUCUUGCAUAACUCAAAGUGCCAUCAUACAGAAAGUAUGAACUAAACGGACACAUUGUCAUAUGUCGACAAUCACUCCAACAUGUCGUGCCAUCGAUCCAAGUCAAGGAGAUAGUCCCCGAGCUUAGUGAAAGGCUUCAGGUUGAGACGCUGAGCGGCAACGCGUGUUCGGACGUCUUCCCUCGACAUUUUUCCUUCUUCAUAGAACAUCCCUGUUUUUUCGAUGACCUCCCUCAUGAUGAUUUGGGCAAGUUCGCACUGGAAGUGAUAGAACUCAUCUUGAAGUCGAUGAUCCUCGAUAUCUCCUAAGUUCUUUGCCCAUUGCAGAAUAUGGGCAUCGCCGAAUCUAGGUGUCAUGCAAAGGUUCUGGUGAUCCCGUAUGUACUCCAUCAUGUGGUGUAGGACAUAGAAUCCAUCAUUAAGAGAAUCACUCAGUUGCUGGAUACAGCAGAAGCCGGUCUUAUGGCCGAAGGCGGGCCUGCCGUCCCUUUUCUUCUUGUCCUUGACCUCUCCACCCCGUGCACCGUAGUAAAACAUAGCACCGUCGAGAACAUACUUGAUGUGGGUGUAAUCCUUUUUUUUAAUGUUCUUCGAUGAGUCCAAGUAAAGAGCGUGGGAGUAUCGGGGGUAGAGGAUGAUGAGGAUGGUGCACCCGCCGCUGCGCAAAAUAAGUACACCUCAAAUUAAUUAGCCUCCACCGUGCAAAUGAAUGAUUGAAAUCGUAGGAAGGAUAUCCGCGUGGAUGACUUACAGGGGAUGAUAAGGCACAAGAAUCACCUCCUUGUCCUUAUUGGCACGCAUGAAAUUGACGAUGUAUUCCUCGCGUAUUCACGGUGCUUUGCGUGGACUCACAAGAAGACCUCGUGCAUGAAGUACCGAUCAGUGACACAGAUAUGAGGUAUUUGCUCAACCCCGAUGAGGUAGUUCAUGUGCAAGGCAUAAAGGUGGACGAAUGUAAAAUCCAGCUUCUUUAAGUGAAACAUGUCGAAGAUGUAAUCCAAUCGAAGGAAGAACUUGUUCGAGGGGAAUGUGUCGAUGUACGACAAUUGCAGCGACACGUUAACCACGGAGAGUGGGUAUGCUGGAUUUUUUGAGGCAAUGAGGCCUUUCUCUAUCAGCAACACAUCAUCAUGAAGUCUCCUUAUAUCGCCAAAUCAGGCCCCUAGCGCUGCUUUAGGUAGGAUUGGUUAACCGGGGAUACGCCAUAUUGCCGCACCGAGGAUAUCUAUACGGUCUUGAACCCGAGCCUGCUGAGGUGGCUGGAUCAUAGAAGCACCUUUGUUUCCUUUCCUCGGUGUCUUCCUUGGCUUCUUUGCUACCGGAAAGUCGUCUAUAAUAUGUUCAGCCUCUGGAGGCGGCAAUUCAGGCACCAACUCAUGCGCUCAAACCCUGAGUAGGCGCCAGUAUUGAGGUAUUGUUGAAUGUCAUCGUCGUCCUCAUCUAUGGCGAUGUCACUAGCGACAAAUCGAGCCUCUUCCUCACCCCGUCCGCUAUCACCCAGCACGACAGCCGACGCUAAUUGGGUAGGUGGGGUGUUGAUGUUCGUACCUAACUGCGUGCUCGUGUGUGUGCUCCCGGCCGCCUCCAGACAAAGCAGACUCUUUGACCACAACAGGACCCACCCAUUGCAACCACCAAGCCGCUGCGGGGUCUCGUCGUCAUCCCCUAGUAUCGGAGGAGCCAAAUUCUCGUGGCCCGGUUUGACACUGGCCACGAAAACUUUGAAGACAUACGGGGGGAUUGGUCGGCCAUGGAACAAUGGUUCCUUCGGCUUCAUUACCGUCACCUUCCCCACGUCCACCUUUUGGUCGCCGAUGUUGUACAAUAUGGUGCACGGGGUUACAUCGGCCUGCAAAGACACCGUGAGAUUAUACAUUUAUGGAAGAGGGCCGGUGUGACAGAUACCGUGAGGGCGUCGAGCUCAGCCAAAGACGAAGGACAGCUGAGCACGGCCGGUGUGGGAGCCGGUGUGGGAGCCGGUGCAGGUGCAGGUGCUGGUGCAUCGCUAGUCGUGCUACUCCCGAAGAAGUCAACAAUGGGAAAGUCCGCUGCAUUUUUUCUGGAUUUUGCAUGCUCCAAUUGAAAACGGCUGGAACCAAGACAAUAGACAUAUCUGCAACCACCUGUUUUGCGGCAGCUACCGUUAUCGUGACAGUCUCAGAUGAUUUCUUCUCUACUGCAAUCUCAACCUUCUUGUCGAUGUUUUCUUCAGUUAACCUCCAUCUUUCCUUUCUCUCCUCCGUGGUCUCACGGUAGCACUUCUUCCACGUGGCCCCGUCUCCGACACCGUGAACGCGUCCAUACGACGACCGAGUCUCCACUGGGAGUCCUUUCAAUAUGUUCAAUGCCCGGUUGAAUGGAGUGUCCCACUUGGGCCUCGCCAACGCCUCAGACGGCGAGUCUCUUUCGGUCGCAAUCUUGUGCUGCUCUCUCUACAAAAGGAACAAGGAUCAUUUACAAAUAUGACUAAACGUGCAGUCGAAUUGAUCAGAAACUAAAAUUACCAGCAGUCUCAUGAACUCCGUCGUGAUCGGGUCCGUCUUGAAAACCUUCUUGACCGAGUGCCAAUGGUGCCGUGCCCUGAGGACGUCAUGCUCCUACAGGACGGUGAAGUCCGCCAAGGGGUCUAGGAUGCCAGACUUUCGCGUUUCGUGUCCUCCUUGGCCCAUAUGGACCUCUUCCUGCUGUAACCACGGCUUCCGAGGUGGCGGUGCCCCAUGUUCCUUUGUUGAAACCCCUUCAUGUACUUUGACUUUGUUUUGGCAGUUUCAGCCUCGCAAGCCGCCUUGAAUAUUUCAAAGUGCUCUCCCGUGAUUGUCGGAUUAUCCUUUACAAUCUCGGAGUAGGGUUGAUACGUCUCCAAUGUAUCUAUUAUUUUUGAUUGCUCCAUGCUAUAUUAUCUACUGUUUUGGACAUUAUUGGGCUUUAUUAUCUACUUUUAUAUUAUAAUUUGGACUAACCUAUUAACCGGAGGCCCGAGCCCAGAAUUGCUGUUUUUUUGCCUGUCUUAGGGUUUCAAAGAAAAGGAAUAUCAAACGGAGUCCAAACGGAAUGAAACCUUCGGGAACGUGAUUUUCUCAACGAACAAGACCCAGGAGACUUUGACCCUACAUCAAGACACAAGGCGAAUCAUGUACGUAGCCACUAGUGAAACAUAUUAUCUUUAUUAUAUCUAUCAGAUCUCACUCUCGUAAGUGGCCGUGUUGGGAUUGACAACCCCUAUUCAUGUUGGUUGAGAGGAUUGAUUUGUUUUGUGCAAGUACAAAGGACUCGCGCGUAGCCUCCUAUUGGAUUAAUAGCUUGGUUCUCAAAAAGUGAGGGAAAUACUUACGCUACUUUGUUGCAUCAUCCCUUCCUCUUCGGGGAAAACCAACGCAGUGCUCAAGAGGUAGCAAGAAGGAUUUGCUGNNNNNNNNNNNNNNNNNNNNNNNNNNNNNNNNNNNNNNNNNNNNNNNNNNNNNNNNNNNNNNNNNNNNNNNNNNNNNNNNNNNNNNNNNNNNNNNNNNNNNNNNNNNNNNNNNNNNNNNNNNNNNNNNNNNNNNNNNNNNNNNNNNNNNNNNNNNNNNNNNNNNNNNNNNNNNNNNNNNNNNNNNNNNNNNNNNNNNNNNNNNNNNNNNNNNNNNNNNNNNNNNNNNNNNNNNNNNNNNNNNNNNNNNNNNNNNNNNNCCUCCACCCUCGUGGGCCCCCUGUUGCUCCACCGACGUACUCCUUCCUCCUAUAUAUACCUACGUACCCCCAAACGAUCAUAUACGGAGCCAAAACCCUAAUUCCACCGCCACAACUUUCUGUAUCCACGAGAUCCCAUCUUGGGGCCUGUUCCGGAGCUCCGCCGGAGGGGGCAUCAAUCACGGAGGGCUUCUACAUCAACACCAUAACCUCUCCGAUGAAGUGUGAGUAGUUCACCUCAAACCUACGGUUCCAUAGUUAUUAGCUAGAUGGCUUCUUCUCUCUUUUUGGAUCUAAAUACAAUGUUCUCCCCCUCUCUUGUGGAGAAUUAUUCGAUGUAAUCUUAUUUUUGCGGUGUGUUUAUUGAGACCGAUGAAUUGUGGGUUUAUGAUCAAGUCUCUCUAUGAAUAAUAUUUCAAUCUUCUCUGAAUUAUUUUAUGUAUGAUUGGUUAUCUUUGCAAGUCUCCUCGAAUUAUCAGUUUGGUUUGGCCCACUAGAUUGAUCUUUCUUGCAAUGGGAGAAGUGCUUAGCUUUGGGUUCAAUCUUGCGGUGUCCUUUCCCAGUGACAGUAGGGGCAGCAAGGCACGUAUUGUAUUGUUGCCAUCAUGGACAACAAAAUGGGGUUUUCAUCAUAUUGCAUCAGUCUAGCCCUCUACAUCAUGUUAUCUUGCUUAAGGCGUUAAUUUGUUUUUAACUUAAUACUCUAGAUGCAUGCUGGAUAGCGGUCGAUGAGUGGAGUAAUAGUAGUAGAUGCAGGCAAGAGCGGUCUACUUGUCUCGGACAUGAUGCCUAUAUACAUGAUGAUACCUAGAUAUUCUCAUAACUAUGCUCAAUUCUGUCAAUUGCUGAACAGUAAUUUGUUCACCCACCGUAGAAUACUUAUGCUCUCGAGGGAAGCCACUAGUGAAACCUAUGGCCCCGGGUCUAUCUUUAUCAUAUUAAUCUUCUACUACUUAGUUAUUUCCUUUGCUUUUUACUUUUCCUUUAUUUUACUUUGCAUCUUUAUCACCAAAAUACCAAUAAAAUUAUCUUUAUCAUAUCUAUCAAAUCUCACUCUGGUAAGUGGCCGUGUAGGGAUUGACAACCCCUAUUCGUGUUGGUUGCGAGGAUUUAUUUGUUUUGUGCAGGUACGAGGGACUCGCGCGUAGCCUCCUACUGGAUUGAUACCUUGGUUCUCAAAACCUGAGGGAAAUACUUACGCUACUUUGCUGCAUCAUCCCUUCCUGUUCGGGGAAAACCAACGCAGUGCUCAAGAGGUAGCAAGGGUUCCUUUUUGUCGACGAUCCGAUGUUUCAACCUUGUUUUCCAGGCGGCCAACGCGUCGCUAAACUUGGGCAUGGCGUGUUUGUUUAUCUUCUUCAUUGCCACGUCCUUAUCUGGAUCAUUAUUAUCCUUUUCAUUGCAGUCAGGGAACAAGAAUAUCUGGUGCAGCUUCUUUAGGAGGGAGGGCCUCAUAUUAUCUAUCUUCUGUAGUUUCCCAUCGUUGAUCGUGGCAGUUGUCCGUACGAUGCAACCUAUUUGAUUGCCGUAGCACGAUCGCGCUUCCUCGGGCGCUAUUGUCUCAAAAAUACCGUUGUCCAUCUCCGUGACCACCAGUCUAGUACUCAUGAGCUGGUUUGGGUGCCGUGGCCUCUUUGCUUUCGGUUCUAGACCAGCUCCGCUAGUCUCGGCGCCGGUCUCAGUCUCAUCACCGGUCUGCAUGUCGGUAUCAGUCCCCGAUGCGACAGCACAGUCGCUGCAACAUGGGUAAGGGAGACCACAUCAGUGCUGGGGUGGUCUGAAAAUUGGGACACACUUUCGCGCAUUGCGGGCCGCCUCUCAGACAGCUACUGGGGAGGCGGCGGAGUACCUGGGUGCGCGACGAAUCCCCGGGAACUCGGUGACCAACUUCCUUCCCAUGUAGCGCAUGGAGACGAUGGCGACCCCGCCGAAGAGCAGCUUAGUUGCGAGCUGCACAGCCUCGUCCACCUCCUAAGUUGGGACCUCCGCGCGAGCGUUGCGGGGCCGCCGCUCGGAUGGCUUCUGGAAGGCGCUUGUACAUGGGCACAGGGUGAAUCCCGGCAAGAGCUGGCCAUUGGUGCGCGCAAGUAGACGACGACGUCGCCGACGAAGAGCAGCCCGGCCAGCUCGCCUCACUCUCCUUUGAUUAGAAUUGAAAGAUUGGGAAGAAGCAGACUUGAGCCUGCAGGGAAAGGAUAAGGUGACGAUGCAGUCUCCACUCGUUCGGGGCGACACGCGUACUGAAUGUAUGAGAAACGCGACGUGGCAGGGACCCCAAGAUACUCCCUCCAUUUAUUUUUAGUCUGCAUAUAAAGUUUGGUCAAAGUCAAGAUUUGUAAAUUUUAACUAACUUUAUAAUAAAAAAAAUCAACAUUCACAAUAUGAAAUAAUUAUUACCAGAUGCGUCAUGAAAUGUAUUUCCAUACUAUAUAGGUUUGGUAAUGUAGAUGUUCAUAUUCUUUUAUAUAAAUGGGAAGUAGAGGCACUCUUCCAUAUAAUGAAGUUUAUAAUAUAUGUGCUUAUAUUAUACUAUAAUUGUUUGAAUAACUUAGCAUAUGUUCAGAUGUAUGAUAUCUGUAAUUUAAGCGCUUGAAUUUUACAUAUAAAUAUUUAUUAAUAAAUAUGUACCCCUAUAAUAGCUAGGCCGUGCAGUUGCACGGGUAGAUGACUAGUGAUUACAAUCUUGUUUGUGUGCAAGUCAAGCUUAUCUAGUUUACACGUAACAACUUGUAGAACAUUACAAAAUUUAUGCUUGCUAAUAACUUCUAGAACACUACAACACUUGACAUGUAAAAGGAAUUUGACGAGUCAUGGCCUACUAAAGAAAGUUACAUUACUAGUCUUAUAUCUAUCUUAAUAGACCACACAAGACUACAAAUUAAGUACCGUGACAGCCAUGAUUAUCUAGUUUAUGCGUAACAAUUUGCAGAAAAUUACAAACUUAGUUUUAGAAAAAUAGGCAAUCCAGAUUAGUGUUUGAGCUGUAAAGUGAAUAAGAUGAGUCAUGCGUGUUAUCACACCUUUUUGGUGGUGGAAUGAUAGUGCAAAACAAGGAACUUUAAUGAACAGUCCAAUAAUACACUUGUAAGUAGUGCCACCAAACAGAACAUACCAAAUGAUGAUUUUGAGAAGCAUCCAAGCACUUUCCACACAAACAAAUGCCAAUUGUGAAAGAGAUCAUUCCAUGGCAGCUAUAAAUAGCCCCGUAGCAUGACGAUCAUCCUUCCUCAUCCAUCAUUCUCAUAAGUAGAGCGCAUCAUUUAAGCCAAGCAAGCUGUGGUCAAUACAAAUCCACCAUGAAGACAUUUCUCAUCCUUGCCCUCCUUGCUAUCGUGGCGACCACCGCCACAACUGCAGUUAGAGUUCCAGUGCCACAAUUGCAGCCACAAAAUCCAUCUCAGCAACAGUCACAAGAGCAAGUUCCAUUGGUACAACAACAACAAUUUCUAGGGCAGCAACAACCAUUUCCACCACAACAACCAUAUCCACAGCCGCAACCAUUUCCAUCACAACAACCAUAUCUGCAGCUGCAACCAUUUCCGCAGCCGCAACUACCAUAUUCGCAGCCACAACCAUUUCGACCACAACAACCAUAUCCACAACCGCAACCACAAUAUUCGCAACCACAACAUCCAAUUUCACAGCAGCAGCAGCAGCAACAACAACAACAACAACAAGAACAACAAAUACUUCAACAAAUUUUGCAACAACAACUGAUUCCAUGCAUGGAUGUUGUAUUGCAGCAACACAACAUAGCGCAUGGAAGAUCACAAGUUUUGCAACAAAGUACUUACCAGCUGUUGCAAGAAUUGUGUUGUCAGCACCUAUGGCAGAUCCCUGAGCAGUCGCAGUGCCAGGCCAUCCACAAUGUUGUUCAUGCUAUUAUUCUGCGUCAACAACAAAAACAACAACAACAACCAUCGAGCCAGGUCUCCUUCCAACAGCCUCAGCAACAAUAUCCAUUAGGCCAGGGCUCCUUCCGGCCAUCUCAGCAAAACCCACAGGCCCAGGGCUCUGUCCAGCCUCAACAACUGCCCCAGUUCGAGGAAAUAAGGAACCUAGCGCUACAGACGCUACCUGCAAUGUGCAAUGUCUACAUCCCUCCAUAUUGCACCAUCGCGCCAUUUGGCAUCUUUGGUACUAACUAAGAAGAAAAUAACUCUAGUACUAGAUAUAUGAAACACCGUUUUCUCAGUCCAUGGUUUGGUCGUUGUAGCGGUGAAAAAAUAAAGUGACAUGCACUAUCAUGUAAGAACCCAAACUAUACUAGUUCAAACUUGGGAAUAAAAGACAAACACAGGUCUUGUCUACAUAUUUAUGCUGCAUCUAUUUAUAUAUUAAAAGUAAUAUAAGGUGAACCAGGAGCAAGGUAAAUAUGGUAGAAAAUUGCAC
Molecule: long non-coding RNA, 86306 nt
Filed under: Triticum aestivum (bread wheat)
Lineage: Eukaryota; Viridiplantae; Streptophyta; Magnoliopsida; Poales; Poaceae
Description: long non-coding RNA (TAES_LNC009704)
Source: RNAcentral